This 86825-nucleotide long non-coding RNA is filed under the name Malus domestica (apple). Its description in RNAcentral is "long non-coding RNA (MDOM_LNC007874)". The record is from RNAcentral. Lineage: Eukaryota; Viridiplantae; Streptophyta; Magnoliopsida; Rosales; Rosaceae.
UAUAUUUUUGUGGUGGCAUUUUAAACACAUCUAAUGCGUCUAUCACUUUCUCAAUUGGAGAAUAGAGAUGAUUUAGAGCGCACAAAUUAGUCUUUUUAGGGUUCUUGGUAAAGUUAAAACAUCGUUUUGGGCACAUUGCUUACAAAUUCAUGUGUUUUUUUUCUUUUGACAAAUCCAUGCACUUUGAGGGGUAUGCUCACAGACCCGUCUUUGACGGGAGCACCUGAUUUCGCUGGGUCCAAAUUUUUUGUUUUUACUUAAUAGAUACUAGCAUUUGCUUACACAUUUUUUUGGAAAAUGAGAAGGAGAGAGGGAGAGAGAGAAUGUGGGGAAGUGGGAGGUGUUUUCGGUUUUUUUUUUUUUUAAAUAUUGGAGGUAUUUUAAUAUCACAUGUAGGUGAGGUUUCAAUAAAAAACAGUAAAAUUUGGAUCUGUGAAAGUACAUUAUUGCCCACCAUUUUUUUUUUUGUGAUAGAAGACUAAGUUGUCUUUUCAUCCUCUUUUGAUUGACAAAGAGAUUUUAAUUAAUUAGUAGAGAUAUGAUAUUUAAUAUUUAAUAAAUGUAGAAAUAAUGACAAAGCAAUGUUUUUUUUUAAAACACUUAAGCUUUUUCCCCCAAGGUUCGUGUUUCAAAUCCCGUGUGUGAUAUUCUUUUAUGAAUUGUUUUUAAUUCAAUUUUUCUAUUUUGAAAAAAAGGAUCAUACCAUGUACAUUUAAGAGGGGCCGUGCAAUUUAAGAACCUGCUUUGCCGUCUUUAUUUUUUUUAAUCAAGACAAACUAAAACUACCCCUAACAACAAAAAGAAACGUAUUUCAAGUGUAUAGCAAGUAUGAACCAUAGCCUUCACCAUCAUUCCUCUGCAAAUCCUUUUAUCUCACUUCCUCUCUGUCUGUUUCUUUUUCAAAUUUCUAAGUAUCUUUAUACAGGUGAAGGGGUGAAUCAAAAUAUAUCAUUAGGUUUAGAAGAUUGCAACUCAAGGAAAGCCUAUAGAAGACUAUGAAUAUAAUCUUUUUUUUGUUUUAGUCUAGAUGUUCAUGAUAGAUGACAUGAUAAUAUAUUUAAGAAUUCAAAAAAGACAACUUACAUGGCCUUAGGCAAGCCAUUGUUGAGCGUCCGCAGUGAGGGGCUCUAUAUAAGGCUAGAAAAGUGGUGGAUAUAACUAAUUUUUGAGCUCCAAGGAAUCUUUGGGGUUUUAUAAAAGAAUCUCUUCUAAUGAGGAGCUAUAUCUUUCGGGCUCUAUAUAGGGCUAUAUAUAUUUAUUUAUGUAGUAAUUUGAUUAAGCGAUAAUUUAUUUUUGUGUGUUAGUUUUUCUUAAGUUGAUUUUUAGACGUGUUAUCUUAAUUUUUUUUUAUAUGAACCUUUCAACCUAAAAAGUUCAAAUUGUGACAAUGUUAGAUUUCAUCACUUAUCAAUCGUUUGUUGGAUUAGAUUCCCCUAUCUCAAUCUCAUCCGUUGAAAGAAGCAAACCCCCACUUUGCCCUCUGAAUAAUUUGACUUUCAUGUAUAACACAACAAUUUACCUAGCACCAAUUGAUAAAUUAGUAUCAUACAAUUUUAAAAAAAAAUUAUUUGAAAAUUUCACUCAUCAAUGCCCAUGAACGUUAAAUCAAUUUGAAAUUUUAAUUCUUAUGGAAUUUAAAACAAUCAUUAAUUAGCCAAAUUGCAAGAAAAAUAACUAAGAAAAAAGAAUUAAAAAUAAUAAAAGGAGAAUAUAAGUGUAUUCGUAGGUAGAGGGAGAGUGAUAGAAUUUUGCUCACAUGGAUUGCUACUUUUUUGUGGGCCCUUCAAUCUUCAAUGCAUAACAAUCAUAGAAUUUGUCUUUUGUGAAUGCUUGAAUAUCAUAUCAUCACUUAUGAACAUAUAAACUGGAACAAAAUAAUAAUAAUAAUAAUAACACCCAACAAAAUAUAUCCACAACCAUAAAAUAUAAAUUCAUAGUUUACCAAAUUAAAAAAAGAUUAAACUCAUAGAUUCCAUAUGCUUACAUUAUUUGCAAUCCUCUAAACCUAGUUAUAUAUUUUGAUUCGCCCCUUCAAUUGUAUAGAGAGGCUUAGGAUUUGAAAAAGAAAGAGACGAAGAGGAAGAAAGAAUAAAAGAAUUGCAGAGGAAUGAUGGUGAAGGCUAGGGUUCAUGCUUGCUAUGUAAAAAAAACAAGCCAAAGACAAUUACACGUAAAAUAUAUUCCUUUUUGUUGUUAGGGAUUAGUUUUAGUUUAUCUUGAUUUAAAAAAUGGGAACUUUAACGAAAAGCACCCGGUACUGUUCACUUUAAAGAAAAACCACAUUUUUACACUAAAAAGUCAAUCCUGGUACUAUUCACUUUACCCUUUAUUUUGUCCUUAUCAUUAAAACUCAAAGUUUUCAAGCUUUUUCAUUAGUUUUCCUUAAAAAAAAUCAGGCCGGCAAAGUAGAGUGCACAUUGGAGUAGGGGUGGAAAAAAUUCCCAAAAAUCUCGAACCAAACCGAAAAAAUCCCGAUCCCAAACCAAAAAUUUCCCAAACCGAAAUUCCCGAAAAUUUUGGGAUGCUAUCCAGAACCGAUCCCGAAAUUUGGGUACGGGAUUCAGGAUUGGCUUCUCGAUAUUUCGGGAAUCCCAUACCGAACCAAAAAUGUAUAAUAUUAAUUAUUAUUAUAUAUAUAUAUUUCUACAUAUAUAUUAUAUAUAUUAUUCUUUUAUAAUUGAUGCUAGUAGUUUCUAAUUCAUGCUCUGCAACCUGGAAUGCCCUACACCUUGCAUAUUUUUCAUGUUCUGUUUAAUAUUCAUUUGGAUUUUAUUAUUGCUGCUACCAUGGUUGAUGAUUUCAGAAUGCUUGAUUCUUUUGUCUCUUAAUAGAUUGCAAAAAGGGUUUAAUUAAUUUGAAUUUUGACUUUGAUAAAAAUAGUCAGGCAUGCCAGUGUUCGAUUAAAUGGUAGUGUGAAUGAAAUGACAUUCCUAGUUCUUGAAUUAUAUAUUUGAAGAACAAUUCAUAAUUUAAAAUUUAAAUUUGGGAUUCCCGAUUUGUCUCGAAAUCCCAAAAAUAUUUUGGGAUUCCCGAAAUUUGGGAUUCCCGAAAAUUUGGUUUGGGAAUGGUCUUCAAAUUCCCGUCCCGAAAAUUUUCGAUUUGGAAUUCGGGAUACUAGUUUCGGUAUGGUAUCCCAUACCGAACCACCCCUACACAGGAGUCAUAUGGACCAUUUUUCAAAACAGAAAAAUCAAAUUAAAAACAAUACAUAAAAACAGAGCGAUUCGCAAGUGAUUUCUAGGAUGUUACGUACCCAUUUUUUUUUAAUGGUAUUUCAUUGUGUCUCCACUAUACAACAUUUGAAACAUACUUAGGUUAGAAAACCUUAAUUUUGACGCAUAUGUGGAAUUUUUGGGUUAGGUCUUUGUUUCUAGUUAACUUUAAUUUAUUAUUCCGACAGUUUCUCUCUUUGGCUGGCUGGUUUUAUACGUAUAUUCUGGAGUCUGCACCAAGAAUUAGUCUACUAAUUUUGUUCCCGAUUUAUUUAUUUAUUUCUUCUUCUGGACCAUCAUCUCGAACCUUGCAAGACUUAGCCAUGCAUAGUCAAGGUCAUGAUCAUAUUACUAUUGAAGACCCAGCUCAAUCUCAAUUUGUGCAAUAAUUUAUCUCGCUAUUAGACCUAUAAAUAGCCCUCCAAAUACAAAGCUUUUGCAAUAUAUCCACAAUCUGCUUAAUCAUAAGUGCUUAAGUAGUUUACAAUGGCUUCAAAAUGUACUCUUUCUCUGUUCACAAUCACUUUUCUCUUUGUCCUCCUUUCUCUCUUCUCCCAUGCAACGUCGUCAGAAACCCACAACAAAAACACGUCGCCAUUCGAGUUUCUCAACCAUCUUAAGGGGUGUCACAAGGGCGACAAGGUCCAAGGCAUCCAAGACCUAAAGAAGUACCUUGAAAAAUUUGGAUACUUAAACGGCCAUUCCGAUAAUGAUGAUUUCGACGACAUCUUGGAGUCAGCGAUCAAAACUUACCAGCUCAACUACCACCUCAAAGCCACCGGAACAUUAGAUGCCAAAACCGUAUCAAAAAUGAUGAUGCCGCGAUGCGGUGUGCCAGACAUCAUCAAUGGCACCACCUCCAUGCGAUCGGGAAAGAAAAGACACCCUCACCACCACAGCGGACAUGGUUCGCCUCACACAGUUGCUCAUUAUUCUUUCUUCCCUGGAAACCCUAAAUGGCCUUCUUCUAAGUACCAUCUCACCUAUGCUUUUGAUCAAACCACCCCAACUGAGGCCCGGGACGCAGUUGCGCGCGCUUUUGCUGUUGAAUUAUAAGUCUCUAGCUGAUUAAGUAUUAGAAAUAAGAUGAGUUUUAAUGUGUGUAUUCAUUUGAGCAUAUAUGCCAAGUGUAAGGUUAAAUGAUGUAAGGCCAUGAGUGCCAUGUGGUGUUUGAUCCAUGUAAUUAGGUUGAUGAGUGACUAAGAUUAAAAGUAGUGUUUAGUGUGGUCCUAAAGCUAAGGCCAUCAGUUAAAUGUAAAGCAGUGUGAGUGCUCAUUUCUCUGUGUAGUACAAAAUAUUCCUCUGCAAUAUUUUUGCAGUAGAGAACAAGAAAGAAAAAAAAAAACUAUUUUUCGGUUCAUCUUCCAUCUUUGCUUUUGCUUCUGUUCAGUAUUCUAAAAAAAAAAUCCAGCUAAAUUAGAGUAACACUAACAUGGCCUCAGAGCCUUGUUUCGAUUAGAUCUGGGCGUGUUUCUGUGAGCUCAAACGUCACCGUCUCUGGACUUGGUGAAGUUUGCCGGAGCUUAUCUGUGAUCUAAGAACUACGUGUUUCUGGGUUCACACAAGCUCACGAUGGCUGGACCUGGGAGUGCUGAAGUGAGGACCCCGAUCUUUCUCCGGUGAGAACUACGAGUUCUGGAGAAUCAAAAUGGUUACCAUUUUCAAGUCGUAUGGACUGUGGAAUCUGGUGGAAAAAGGGAUUCCGGUUCCUGAUUCGAAGAAGAAGGAAGCUAAGACUGAUGAACAUACAGAGGUUGAUGUUGACGAUGAUGAGAAAAUGGCUGCAAUCUUCAUGAAAGAUGCAAAAGCUCUCGGAAUCAUUCAAAGCGCAGUCUCCGAUCAGAUUUUCCCUCGAAUCGCAAACGCAGACUCAGCAAAAAUGGCAUGGGAUCUGUUAUAUGGCGAAUAUCACGGUGGGGAUCAGGUAAGAUCUGUGAAACUCCAGAAUCUUAGACGAGAAUUUGAAUACACUAGAAUGCGUGAUGAUGAAUCUUUGACUGGGUAUCUUACUCGUUUAAAUGAUCUGAUUAAUCAAAUGAAGACGUUUGGUGAAACUAUGUCAAAUGAGAGAUUAGUUCAGAAGGUGUUAAUCAGUCUCACUAAGAUAUAUGAUCCUAUAUGCUUAGUGAUAGAAAACACUAAAUGUUUAGAAUCUGUUGAACUGCAAGAGGUAUUAGCUAUAUUGAAGAGUCAAGAGCAGAGGUUUGAUUUGCAUUCCUCAGAUGCAACUGAGAGAGCAUUUUCUUCUCUUACUGUUAGUUCAAAAGGGCAGAAUCGAAGUUAUGCUCAGUCUAGUACCUUUAAACCACAGAGAAAUUGGAAUCAAAAGGGCAAGAAAUGGGAGUCAAAACCAAAGUUUCAGCAAAAAUCAUACACACAAGUGUUGCACAGAAUAGUACUUCCUCACAGGGUAUGGGUCAAGAGAGUGUAAAACCUCAAUGUAAGGUGUGUUCAAAGUUUCAUUAUGGUGAAUGUAGGUAUAAGGGGAAAUCUAAGUGCUAUAACUGUGACAGAUUUGGGCACUGGGCAAAAGAAUGUACUGUUGGAAAGUCUGUUCAAAAGGCAAACUGUGCCAGUCAAAUGGAAGUAACAGGGAACUUGUUUUAUGCAAAUUGUGCAGUUGCUGAGACUAAGGUUAAUGGAGAUUGGUACAUAGAUAGCGGCUGCAGUAAUCAUAUGACAGGAAAUGUUGAUCUUCUUGUUGAUGUGAAUACGAAUGUUGCAGGGAAGGUUCAAAUGCCAACAGGAGGAUUAGUUAAUGUGGCAGGAAUUGGAUCACUGGAAAUUGAGACUAACAGAGGAAGAAAAUACAUUCGAGAAGUCAUGUACCUACCUGGCUUGAAAGAGAAUCUACUUAGUGUAGGACAAAUGGAUGAGCACGGAUACUAUCUUGUGUUUGGUGGAGGUAUGUGUACUGUCUUUGAUGGCCCUUCUCUGGAAUGUCAAAUUAUCAGUGUAAAGAUGAGAGGAAACAGAUGCUAUCCUCUAUCUCUAAGUUCUGAAAAGCAACUUGUGUUGAAGCUCAGUUUUGCUAACUGUGCCCGGACUUGGCACAGAAGACUUGGCCACCUAAACUUUGGUGGAAUCAAAAAAUUGAAGGAGAAAGAUAUGGUUCAUGGAUUACCAGAUCUAGAAGAGAAUGAUAGAGUCUGUGAAGGUUGUCAAUAUGGUAAACAGCACAGAGAAAGUUUCCCUAGUGGUCAAACACAAAGAGCUGGUGCUUCACUCGAAUUGAUCCAUGUUGAUCUAUGUGGACCAAUGAGAAAUGAAUCCACUGGAGGAAACAAAUACUUUAUGCUGCUUGUGGAUGAUGCAACACGAAUGAUCUGGGUAUACUUUCUUAAAUAUAAAUCUGAGGCCUUCUCCUGCUUUCAAGAAAUUCAAAGCAAUGACUGAGUUACAAACUGGUUUAAGGGUGAAAUGUCUGAGGAGUGACAGAGGAGGGGAGUUCUUGUCUACUGAGUUCAAUCAGUUCUGUGAUACAGAAGGCAUUCAAAGGCAACUUUCUCUUGCAUACACUCCACAGCAAAAUGGAGUGGUGGAAAGGAAAAACAGAACCGUGGUUGAAAUGGCUAAGUCUAUGCUACACGAUAAAGGAAUGCCCUAUUAUAUGUGGGCAGAAGCUGUGCAUACUGCUGUGUACAUUCUGAAUCGAUGUCCUACCAGGUCUCUUGAUAACAUAACCCCCUUUGAAGCUUACAGUGGAAGGAAACCGGGUAUUGCACAUUUGAAGAUUUUUGGCUCAGUUUGUUAUGUUCAUAUCCCAGCUGAAUUAAGGCACAAAUUAGAAGCUAAGAGUCUAAAGGGAGUUUUUAUUGGCUAUGCAAGGUGUGAGAAAGGUUAUAGGGUCUUUGAUCCAUUUUCUAAAAGGGUAAUACUGUCAAGAGACGUUGUGUUUGAUGAAGAUUCAAGUUGGAAUUGGCAGGAAAGCACAGAGAAACAUGUGUCUAUGUUCAAUUAUGAAGGGCAGUCUGGUGAGUCACCAAGCAGUGCAUUCACAGAGGUUGAGACCCCAACCUCUAAUACUUUGCCAUCUAGAAGUUUGACAGAAAUAACAAGUGAUACUGAUAAUGCACCGGUUACUCCUCAAGUCCAAUCUACUGAAUCCUCUAGUAGAUCUUGUGAAAGUACAAGAGAUUCACAAGUGAUUGAUCAUACUCCAUUAAAAUGGAGAAGGCUGGAUGAUGUACUUGCUAAAUGUAAUCUGUGCAUUAUGGAACCAGAGAGAUAUGAAGAUGCAAGUAAGGAUGAAUCUUGGAUGAAUGCUAUGAAGGAUGAGCUUUCAAUGAUUGAAAAAAAUGCAACCUGGGAGUUAGUGGACAGGCCAAGUAACAAGCCUAUAAUUGGAGUAAAAUGGGUGUUUAAAACCAAGCUCAACUUGGAUGGAACUGUGCAAAAGAACAAGGCAAGGCUUGUUGCAAAGGGAUAUGCCCAGAAACCAGGAAUAGAUUACAACGAGACCUUUGCUCCUGUUGCCCGUUUAGAUACAAUCAGAACUCUUAUAGCAUUGGCUGCACAAAAGUGUUGGAAACUCUAUCAACUUGAUGUCAAAUCGGCUUUUCUGAAUGGUGUUCUAGAGGAGGAGGUUUAUGUGGAGCAGCCUGAUGGUUUUGUAGCUAAAGGGGAGGAAGACAGGGUAUACAAACUUCACAAAGCCUUGUAUGGUCUAAAACAGGCACCACGGGCCUGGUAUGGAGAAAUAGAUACCUAUUUCUCACAAUGUGGUUUCACAAGAAGCUUAAGUGAACCAACACUGUACAUCAAGACAGAAGAGGAAGGCAUUUUGAUUGUGUCGAUCUAUGUGGAUGACAUAAUCUAUACUGGGAGCAACAAACAAAUGCUUGAAGAAUUCAAGGAAGACAUGAAACGAAAGUAUGAGAUGACUGAUUUGGGCCUUCUCUACAUCAUUUUCUUGAAAUGGGAAUAAUUCAGACCACUUCAAGCAUUUUCAUCCACCAAAAGAAAUAUGCAAGCUCUUUGUUAGACAAAUUUGGUCUAAAAGAGUGCAAACCUGUGCUUACUCCAUUAGUUGCAACUGAGAAGUUAACCACGAAUGAUGGAAGUGGUGCUGCAAGUGAAGAGUUAUACAGAAGUUUUGUGGGAAGUCUCUUAUAUCUCACUGCAACCAGGCCUGAUAUUAUGUAUGCAUCCAGUCUGUUAGCCAGAUUUAUGCACUGCCCUACCAGUAAGCAUGUUGGAACUGCUAAAAGAGUGCUAAGAUACAUUAAGGGUACACUUGAUUAUGGUCUGGAAUAUGUGAAGGGUAAGAACUCAAUGUUAAUUGGGUUCUGUGACAGUGACUGGAGUGGAUCAAUUGAGGACAGUAAAAGUACUUCUGGUUAUGCUUUCUCCUUUGGCAGUGGAGUAUUCUCUUGGGCAUCUGUGAAGCAAAAUUGCGUUGCUCUUUCCACUGCAGAAGCAGAGUACAUCAGUGCUUCAGAAGCAACUACUCAAGCCAUUUGGUUGAGAUUUGUGCUUGAAGACUUUGGUGAAUUUCAAACCGAAGCCACUCCAGUGCACUGUGACAACACCUCAGCAAUUGCAAUCACCAAGAACUCUGUGUUUCAUCAAAAGACCAAACACAUUAACAGAAGAUACCAUUUCAUCAAGGAUGCACUGAAGGAUGGUAUCAUUGAUCUGGUGUACUGUCCAACUAAUGAACAACUUGCUGAUAUCUUCACAAAACCUCUGCCUAAAGAUCGGUUUAAUUAUCUCAGGAACAUGCUAGGAGUGAAAUCAGCUCAAGACUUAAAGGGGAGUGUUGAAUUAUAAGUCUCUAGCUGAUUAAGUAUUAGAAAUAAGAUGAGUUUUAAUGUGUGUAUUCAUUUGAGCAUAUAUGCCAAGUGUAAGGUUAAAUGAUGUAAGGCCAUGAGUGCCAUGUGGUGUUUGAUCCAUGUAAUUAGGUUGAUGAGUGACUAAGAUUAAAAGUAGUGUUUAGUGUGGUCCUAAAGCUAAGGCCAUCAGUUAAAUGUAAAGCAGUGUGAGUGCUCAUUUCUCUGUGUAGUACAAAAUAUUCCUCUGCAAUAUUUUUGCAGUAGAGAACAAGAAAGAAAAAAAAAAACUAUUUUUCGGUUCAUCUUCCAUCUUUGCUUUUGCUUCUGUUCAGUAUUCUAAAAACAAAUCCAGCUAAAUUAGAGUAACACUAACAACAUGGGCAGGCAACACACACUUCUCGUUCAGUCAAUCCCAAACCUAUGAGAACGCGGAUCUGACAAUAAGUUUUGCUAGUGGUGAUCAUGGAGAUGGGAACCCAUUUGACGGCCGAGGCGGGACCCUUGCUCAUGCAUUUGCACCGACCAAUGGGAGAUUCCACUACGAUGCCGAUGAGCCGUGGGCUGUGGGAGCUGUGGAGGGUGCUUAUGACUUGGAGACUGUGGCAUUGCAUGAAAUCGGACAUCUGUUGGGGCUACGACAUAGCUCUGUUGAAGGAGCUGUGAUGUCCUCCACCGUUCGUACUGGAUUUGCUCAAAGUUUGCAUGCAGAUGAUAUUCAAGGAAUUAAAGCUUUAUAUAGUACUUGAUCUUCACAUGCAUAUUCACAUAAUCAAGAGUACUCAAAGAUUAAUCAUUAAAUUAAGUAGUAUUUAUUAUUGAAGUUCACCCUUUUUUUCAUCCCUUAAUCAAAUAAGGUACCUCAACUUGAGUGUAUUGAAAUUCUGCAAUAAUUAAUUAAAGUUGUAGCAGCAUACAUAUGCUGAAAAUAUGAUUUUUUUUUGGAGCUUUUGAAGCUUAUAGAAAUAUGGAUGUCUGGCCUUCUAUAUGUUGAACGUGUGUUAACUCUGAUGUUUUAGGAACAUGCACAUAUAAUGCAACUUUCAAUUUGUUUUGUAUUUACAGUCAAUUUGUUUUGUGUAAUUGUGUUUCUGCUAAAAUAUUUGAAAAUUUUAUGUAUUAUAUUCUUCUUUGUAUUGAGGCCAAUCCGCCAAUAUGUGUACAGAUUAAUUAUAAGGGAAGAAAACUACAAGAUUGUAAGAAAACCUUAUUACAAAUAGAUGAUAGAAUAGUAUUUUUGCUCUCCUCCUUCCUCUCCUUCCCAGUUGGAGUCUUCCAUCAAAACUUACCAGCUUAACUACAGCCUCAAUUCUACCGUAAAACUAGACGCGGAAACUGUACGGAAUAUGAUGAAGUCUUGAUACGGUGUUCCGGAUAUUGUCAACGGCACCACCUCUAUGCAAUCAGGAAAUAAACCUCACCAUAACGGUGGACAUGGUUUGACUAACACGGUUGAGCAUUAUUCUUUUUUGGAGUUUUAACGAAACACUUCCGGUACUGUUUACUUUUAUCGAAAAACCACAUUUUUACCUUUUCCUGAUAUUAUUCAUUAUAUCUUUAUUUGUCAUUUUUCAUUAAAAUUAAAAUUUGUUUGAACUUUUCGUUAGUUUUCUAUUUUUCAUAAACGUGCUCAUGGAGAUGGAUACCCAUUUGAUGGCCACCGUGGAGUCUUGGCCCAUUCUUUUGCACCUACUGAUGGGAGAUUUCACUUCGACGCGGAUGAACGGUGGGCUGUGGAUGUUGUGACGGGUGCUUAUGACUUGUAGUCUGUGGCUUGGCAUGAAAUUGGGCAUCUGCUUGGGCUUGGGCAUAGUUCUCUGUUCGAGGAGCUGUAAUGCUUCCCACCAUUAGCUCUGGCUUCACACGCCGGAGACUGACUAGGGAUGAUAUUAGUGGAAUCAAAGCUCUAUACAACAUUGGAUCGAUGAUGAUCACCACGUUCACUUAUUAGUAAGUUCAUCAAAAGCCGUGAACUUAUAAUAUUCAUAAUUUUCUGUAUCAAAUAAAUUUGUCAAAAUCCAUGAACUUAUAAUGUUUCUUAAUUUCUUGUAUCAAAUAAAUAUACCUAUUGUACGAAAAAAUUUAUCUUAUAACGGGUAAAAAUUCUCCUCUGAGCAUAUAACUGACGAUAAUUAAGAUUCUCCAAUCAAAUAAACUGUACCUAAAUGUUAUAAAAUAAUAAACAAAUAAAAGUUGUACCGGUAUGUAUAUGUUGGACAAAAUUACAAAGAGCUUUAUUUACAGAUUUCAUCUUCCAAGUCCAAAUCCUUCAUACUCGUGUAACACCUAGACAAAAUUACAUAAAACACAAAGCUCAAUGCACUUAGUGAGGCCAAAAAACCAGUAGUAUUUAUCAAGUCUAGCUUCAUUCAUGUAACUCCGCCUAUGUCUUACAUGGCCGGUCCCAAGCCCGGAUAAAGGAGGAGGGGGAGGGCGUCAGGUAGUCGACAGCCGGCACUCCAUGAUCACGUCGAAUCCUUAUGAAAAUGAAUCCAGAACAAAAUCGCGCUAAAGCUAGGGCGUCACCCGUAAGUGGCGCGCUGUGUGGCCCGAGCACAGUGAUAAGUGAGCAAGGGUCGCUGUAUCUCCAUCGGCACCCGGAUGCAGUGUUAAAUGAGCAAGGGGGCCAUAGAAACUUCUUUUCGAACGACUCCACUCAAAGUUGUUUGGGAGCAUAUGCUCCUAUCAACUUUACCCGGGACACACAAAAGAAGUACUUUGAUCCUAUUAGACGGGGGAGGGUGAAGAAUCUAGGACAGAAGGGUAGAGUUCAAGAGAGCAAAAUGCGUUUAGGAACGUGGAAUAUAGGAACCUUAACGGGAAAAUCUAUGGAAGUAGUGGAAGUUAUGGUGAGGAGAAGGAUAAAUAUUAUGUGCCUACAAGAAACUAAGUGGGUGGGUAGUAAGGCAAAGGAUCUAGAAAACUCAGGGUUUAAACUUUGGUAUUCGGGCACAAAUAGAACGAGAAACGGUGUUGGCAUCAUCGUGGAUAAGACCUUGGUACAAGAUGUUGUAGAUAUCAAGAGGGUAGGAGAUAGAAUCAUGGCAAUCAAGAUUGUAAUAGGACAAGAACUUAUCAAUGUGAUUAGUGCGUACGCACCUCAAGUAGGGUUGGAUACGAGUUCGAAGGAGAAAUUUUGGGAAGAUCUUGGAGACUUGGUGCAAGGAAUUGCUCAGACGGAGAAGUUAUUUUAUAGGAGGAGAUUUAAAUGGACACGUGGGCAGGGAGACAGGCAACUAUGGAGGUUUUCAUGGUGGCCAUGGUUUUGGGGAGAGAAACGAGGAUGGGGAAGCUAUCUUGGAUUUUGCAAUGGCAUAUGAUCUCUUCUUAGCCAACACCUUCUUUAAGAAGAGAGAAGAACAUGUGAUCACCUACAAGAGUGGGUCGUCAAAAACACAAAUAGAUUUUCUUCUAAUGAGGAAAGGGGAUCGUAUAACUUGUAAGGAUUGCAAAGUUAUACCAGGAGAGAGCGUGGCUAAUCAACAUCGCUUGUUGGUGAUGGAUGUACAUAUCAAAAGAGUAAGACAAAAAGAACAAGACUUGGAAGUGCCCAAGAACUAGAUGGUGGAAUCUAAAAGAAGAAAAACAAGCCAUUUUCAAAGAGAAGGUAAUCACCCAAUGUGUGUGGGAUAGAGAGGGGGAAGCUAGCCAAAUGUGGGAUUCCAUGGCUAGUUGUAUCCGAAAAGUAGCAAAAGAGGUAUUAGGAGAGUCCAAGGGCUUUGCCCCACACCAAAAGGAAUCUUGGUGGUGGAAUGAGGAGGUACAAACAAAGGUGAAGGCUAAGAAGGAAUGUUGUAAAGCCUUAUACAAGGAGAGGACCGAUGAAAAUGGUGAAAGGUAUAGAAAAGCGAAGCAAGAGGCGAAGAAAGCUGUCAGAGAAGCUAAGUUAGCGGCUUACGACGAUAUGUAUAAACGACUAGAUACCAAAGAAGGAGAGUUGGAUAUCUAUAAACUAGCUAGAGCAAGGGAAAAGAAGACAAGGGACCUAAACCAAGUGAGGUGCAUCAAGGAUGAGGAUGGAAAGGUUCUUGCUACAGAGAACGCGGUUAAAGACAGAUGGAGAGGUUAUUUUCAUAAUCUUUUCAAUGAAGGACAUGAAAGGAGUGCUUCUUUAGGGGAGUUGAGUAACUCAGAAGAGUGUAGAAAACUACCUUUUAUCGUCGAAUCCGGAAGGAAGAAGUGGUUGUAGCUUUGAAGAAGAUGAAGCAUAGAAAAGCAAUAGGCCCAGACGAUAUACCAAUCGAAGUGUGGAAAGUUUUGGGAGAGACAGGUAUAACAUGGCUCACUGACCUUUUCAAUAGGAUUUUGAAAACGAAGAAGAUGCCAAAUGAGUGGCGAACGAGCACUUUGGUGCCUAUCUACAAGAAUAAGGGCGACGUACAAAAUUGCAUGAACUAUAGGGGUAUUAAGCUAAUGAGUCAUACAAUGAAGCUCUGGGAGAGAGUCAUUGAGCAUAGAUUGAGGCAAGAGACACGGGUUUUCGGACAACCAAUUCGGGUUCAUGCCAGGGCGCUCAACCAUGGAGGCAAUCUAUCUCUUACGAAGAUUGAUGGAAAGAUAUAGAGAUGGGAAAAAGGAUUUACACAUGGUCUUUAUAGAUUUGGAAAAAGCGUAUGAUAGGGUCCCAAGAGACAUUCUUUGGAGGAUUUUAGAGAAGAAAGGAGUACGAGUAGCAUAUAUCCAAGCUAUAAAGGAUAUGUAUGAAGGAGCAAAGACUGCCGUAAGAACUCAUGAAGGACAAACCGAAAGCUUUCCCAUAACUGUAGGAUUACAUCAAGGCUCAUCCUUAAGUCCUUACCUUUUUGCGUUGGUAAUGGAUGAGUUAACAGGACAUAUUCAAGAUGAUAUUCCUUGGUGUAUGCUUUUCGCAGACGAUAUAGUGUUGAUAGAUGAAACUCAGGAAGGGGUAAAUGCAAAGCUUAACCUUUGGAGAGAAGCGUUGGAAUCUAAAGGUCUUCGCCUAAGCCGAUCAAAGACAGAAUAUAUGGAGUGCAAGUUCAGUGCAAAUGGAGGCCAAAACGAGUUAGGGGUGAGGAUCGGAGAUCAAGAAAUACCAAAGAGCGACCGUUUUCGUUACCUAGGAUCUAUCUUGCAAAAGAACGGAGAAUUAGAUGGAGAUCUCAACCAUAGAAUACAAGCUGGAUGGAUGAAGUGGAAGAGUGCAUCCGGCGUGUUGUGUGACCGCCGUAUGCCACUGAAGCUCAAGGGAAAAUUUUAUAGGACGGCAAUAAGGCCGGCGAUGCUGUAUGGCACAGAAUGUUGGGCGGUGAAACAUCAACACGUACACAAAAUGGGUGUAGCGGAGAUGAGGAUGCUUCGUUGGAUGUGUGGGCACACGAGAAAGGAUAAGAUUAGGAAUGAGGAUAUCCGGGGUAAAGUAGGAGUAGCCGAAAUUGAAGGAAAGAUGAGAGAAAAUCGGUUACGGUGGUUUGGACAUGUGCAAAGAAGGCCUACUGACGCUCCGAUUAGAAGAUGCGACUAUGGGACAGAGGUUCAGGGCCGAAGGGGUAGAGGAAGACCUAGGAAAACUUUGGAAGAGACUUUAAGAAAAGACUUAGAGUACUUGGAUCUAACGAAAGGACAUGACACAGGAUCGAGCACAAUGGCGUUCUAAGAUUCAUAUAGCCGAUCCCACUCAGUGACUUGGAUUUUCCAAGUCUCCAACCAAGAAGUUUUCCUCACUCGGGAAAUUAAGGGAACACUACCCCAACCUACAUGCUCCACUCAGAAAGCUUCAACAUACAAGCUUCAACAAAAGAAAAAUUCAAAGAACUUAGCGAAGAAGGCUUUGGUGUAUUUAACACAAUACGUUGAAAUGAAGGAAAGCUUAUUUAUUGAUAUCCCCGAUAAGCUACAAAUAUGUACAUAUACAUGAGUCAAAAUAAACACACAAGAGGGAGCCUUCACAAAGGUUGCUUAGGAGAAGUCUCAGCAGUCGGUAGAGCCCCAGAAAGAGAAGGCACCGGAGGGGGAUCAUUUGGAGCCUCAGUACUGGACAGAACCCUAGGAGGAGGAGGCAUCAGAGGUUGAUCAUUUGGAGCUUCAUUACGCGGUACAGUUCCAGAAGACGAAGGCAAUAAAUGCCUUUGGAACAAACCCACAAAUCUCUGAUGAUCAAGUAAAACCUGACCAUCAGUUUCCUUCAUCUGGUCAAGCUUCCUCUUCAUGUUUGUAGCAUAGUCAUGUGCGAGCCGGUGCAACUGUUUAUUCUCAUGCUUGAGCCCUCUAAUCUCCUGUUUGAGACUCAUCACUUCAGCCGCCAAUGAUUCAACUUGGCGGGUUCGAGCAAAUAGGCGUUGGGCCAUAUUAGACACAGAACCUGCACACUGAACACUGAGAGCCAGCGAAUCCUUAACAGCUAACUCAUCAGACCGUUUGGAAAGUAGUCUGUUAUCUUUGGGAGUGAGAAGGUUCCUGGCCACCACCGCAGCGGUCAUAUAUCAUUCUUCAUCACGGAAUCCCCAACGGUAAGAGGACCAGUUUGGGAGACGAAGGAUGGGCGCCAUAUGUUGUCUGGAGAAGGCGGGGCUGCCUCUUCAACAAGGUUCAAGUCAAAACGACGGUCGGAGGGGCCAGACAUUUUCAAAGGUGUUGAAGAGAGAAGAGGUCGGACAAAUCAAGAUAUUAGAAGUGCAAGAAUGAAGCUUCUACUGGUGGAGAUUCAAGUGUGCUUUGGAACUUAAUGCCAGCCUCUAUAAAAAUCUGCACUCGACGGAGCUUCAGAAAUCAAAGAGGCGCCUGCUCAGAAAUCGAAGAGGCGUUUGCUUUCUCAAAAGUUGGGCUGCUUAGAGAUCACGAGGGUUGAUCUCAGAAAUCGAAGAGCCGUUUGCUUUCUCAAAAGUUGGGCUGCUCAAAGACCACGAAGGCCGAUCUCAGAAAUCGAAGAGGCGCUCGCUUUCUCAAAAGCUGGGCUCCCUAGAGACCACGAGGGCCGAUCUCAGAAAUCGAAGAGGCACCUACUUUUCCAGCCUUGUCAGCACCUGUCACACGCACACUCAGCUUUGCGGAAAUUAUGGGCAUUCUGUCAAAGACUUCUGGGGAAGUAGAAAAACACAUGAAUCUUACUGUGUUCAAUCACCCCACUUCCCACACACGCAACAAUAGCUCAUGGGUACCACAGAUAACUUUUGCCAAAGUUCUCUGCCAAAGUUGAGCACGUGAAGCUUGCAGCUCCCACUACAUCGCUCUGACCAAGAAGGGUAAAAGAGAAUAGCAAAGAAACAGCACUAACAAAGUUUAGACCCAUAAAUUUUGAAGGUCUAGCUACCAUAUUAUUACCCACAAGGGUAAAGGAACAGUACCACUGCUGGAUAAUUGGAAAGUCCAUGUAUUGUCAACCUCUGUGUGCUUCGUGGCAAGGUAGACUAGCAAAUGACAUGCCCAACCACUUUACUCACAUUCGAGAAAAACACUCCCAAUAAGAUUGCUUGCUCCAAAAUCGAAGAGGCACCGUCCUCCGAAUCUAAAGAGCCAGACUCCUAACAUGACUACUUUCUUAAAAAUCGAAGAGCGGGUAAAGGAACAGUACCAUUGCUGGAUAAUUGGAAAGUCCCUGUGUGUGUCAACCUCUGUGCUUCGUGGCAAGGUAGACUAGCAAACAUGCCCAACCUUUACUCACUCACAUUCGAGAAAACACUCCCAACAAGAUUGCUUGCUCCAAAAUCGAAGAGGCACCACCCUCCGAAUCUCAAGAGCCACUCUCCCAACAUGAUUACUUUCUCAAAAAUCGAAAGAGACACUGCUCCCCGAAUCUCGAGAGCCAGACCCCCAGCAUGAUUGCUUUCUCAAAAAUCGGUGAGGUGAGGCACCGUUCUCUCGAAUCAAUCGAAGAGGCGCUCGCUUUCUCAAAAGCUGGGCUCUGCUCAGAGACCACGAGGGCCGAUCUCAGAAAUCGAAGAGGCACCUACUUUUCUAGCCUUGUCAGCACCUGUCACACGCACACUCAGCUUUGCAGAAAUUAUGGGCAUUUUGUCGAAGACUUCUGGUGAAGUAGAAAGCACAUGAAUCUUACUGUUCAAUCACCCACCUUCCCACACGCAACAAUAACUCAUGGGUACCACAGAUCACUUUGCCAAAGUUCUCUGCCAAAGUUGAGCACGUGAAGCUUGCAGCUCCCACUACAUCGCUCUGACCAAGAAAGGUAAAAGAAUAGCAAAGAAACAGCACUAACAAAGUUUAGACACAUAAAUUUUGAAGGUCUAGCUACCAUAUUAUUACCCACAAGGGUAAAAGGUACCACUGCUGGAUAAUUGGAAAGUCCCUGUGUGUCAACCUCUGUGCUUCGUGGCAAGGUAGACUAGCAAACAUGCCCAACCUUUACUCACAUUCGAGAAAACAGUCCCAACAAGAUUGCUUGCUCCAAAAUCGAAGAGGCACCGUCUUCCGAAUCUCGAGAGCCAGACUCCCAACAUGACUACUUUCUCAAAAUCGAAGAGAGGGUAAAGGAACAGUACCAUUGCUGGAUAAUUGGAAAGUCCCUGUGUGUCAACCUUUGUGCUUCGUGGCAAGGUAGACUAGCAAACAUGUCCAACCUUUACUCACAUUCGAGACAACACUCCCAACAGAUUGCUUGCUCCAAAAUCGAAGAGGCACCGCCUUCCGAAUCUCGAGAGCCAGACUCCCAACAUGAUUACUUCCUCAAAAAUCGAAGAGACACUGCUCUCCGAAUCUCGAGAGUCAGACCCCCAGCAUGAUUGCUUUCUCAAAAAUCGAAGAGGCAUCGUUCUCCGAAUCUCGAGAGCCAGAUACCACAGACCACUUUUUCAAAGUGCUCUGACAGAGUUAAAACAUGUGAAACUGGCAGCUCCCACUACCGUGUGCUAUGACCAAGCAGGGUAAAGGAAUAGCAUUACUACUUGUUGUUAGGGAGACUCCUAUAUAUGUCGACCUCCAUCCCCAACGGACAGGCAGACCUGCAAAAAAUGCUCAACCCUUCAUCAUAUCUGAGAGGGCACUCCCAACAAAGCCUUUCGAAAUAUUCAGCUUUCUUUCCCCCCGAUAAUACCUCUGCAAACAAGCUAUACUAGAGCAAGAAUAUCUCAUAUCAUCAGGGUUAAAAGCAAGAGUAUCUCAUAUCAUGCUUUUUCCCUGUUUUUUCUUUUGGCCUUGUUUUACCUGCAAGACAAGGAGAAAGAGAGCAAUCAGUCAGUACUUGGAAUCAAGCUUCCAGCCAGGAAUUGACUGCCUGGAACCCCUUACCUGAUUACUUACCUGGCAUUGCUCUCGAGUACUCAUCUUCAUCAUCUUAUGUUUCCAGGGAAGAUUCCGCAUAUGCUUGAGGAACAGAUAGGGCAAGUGCGAAGGAUACAAGGAAGCAUGUGGAGACAAGCGUAACAGCACACGUGCCGAUACAUCCAUUACUUUGUCAAAAGCAAAAGUAUCCCAUAUCAGCAGGGUGGAACGUACUCUAGAUUUGAUGGACUUGUUUUGACCCUCAAAUUCUCCAGUCGGCCUUAUACUCUGGAGGAAACCAGAAAACCCUCCCAGCCAGCUCAGUUCAAGAAUAAGCCUGUGGAAAAGUUACUUCUUCAAAAGCAAAAAAGUAUCUCAUAUCAUCUCUUCUCAUUUUUCUUCUCUUUAUCCUUCAUUGCUGCUGCUGCAAGAUGGGAGAAGAGAAGGUGAACAAUCAGUCGGAGCUCUGAUUGCUUACCUUGUCUGUCACCUCUUUCAGCAGACCCCCUAGCUCGGCGACUUGGGGGACUCCUACUACAUGGUUUGUAUCGCGCUUGACCAAGCCUGAAACUACAAGUAAGCUUCAAGUGAAAUUGAUACAUUACCUUGUGCAUCUUCCACCAGUUAAAGAUACCACCCCUGGAUGGAGGAAGAGUACUUCCAGAGAAGAUGCCACAUCUACCUAUGAGACAGAUAAGGCAAGUCAAGACGACACCACACUCCGAUACUUAGAAGUUUCGUGAUUACGAGAUCAUUAUCCCACAAUAUUUCCUAAUGUCAUUUGUACUAAAUCAUUCACUCGUACUCACUAAAGGAGAGCUUGAACCUAUGUACUUGUGUAAACCCUUCACAAUUAAUGAGAACUCUUCUAUUCCGUGGGCGUAGCCAAUCUGGGUGAACCACGUACAUCUUGUGUUUGCUUUCCUAUCUCUAUCCAUUUAUAUACUUAUCCACACUAAUGACCGGAGCAAUCUAGCGAAGAUCACAAAAAGCGACCGUUUUCGUUACCUAGGAUCUAUCUUGCAAGAGAACGGAGAAUUAGAUGGAGAUCUCAACCAUAGAAUACGAGCUGGAUGGAAAGAGUGCAUCCGGCGUGUUGUGUGACCGUCGUAGGCCACUGAAGCUCAAGGGAAAAUUUUAUAGGACGGCAAUAAGGCCAGCGAUGUUGUAUGGCAGAGAAUGUUGGGUGGUGAAGCAUCAACACGUACACAAAAUGGGUGUAGCGGAGAUGAGGAUGCUUCGUGGGAUGUGUGGGCACACGAGAAAGGAUAAGAUUGGGAAUGAGGAUAUCCGAGGUAAAGUAGGAGUAGCCGAAAUUGUAGGAAAGAUGAGAGAAAAUCGGCUCUGGUGAUUUGGACAUGUGCAAAGAAGGCCGACUGACGCUCCGGUUCGAAGAUGUGACUACGGGACAGAGGUUCAGGGCCGAAGGGGUAGAGGAAGACUUAGGAAACUUUGGAAGAGACUCUAAGAAAAGACUUAGAGUACUUGGAUCUAACGGAGGGCAUGACACAAAACCGAGCGCAAUGGCGUUCUAGGAUUCAUAUAGCCGACCCCACUUAGUGGGAAAAGGCUUUGUUGUUGUUGUUGUUGUUGUAGCUUCAUUCAUGUCAUCGGAGAACCAGCUCUGCCUUCCUCCUGAACUUGUAACUGCUUCAACUGUUGCAAUCAAAAGGGUACUCAGGUAACUUCCCACCCCAAAAACACUAGUGUACAAUGCAAAGGCCAUUGUUCUCAUUCUUCUGGGGACUUCAGAGUAAAAGAACUCUUGUAUUCCAACAACGGUGAAAAUGUCUGAAAUGCCUAAAAGAAUGUACUGUGGAAGUAGCCAAAAGAUGCUAAACGGUACAGUUUCGGAUUGAGAUCCCAGCAUUUCCAUUUCUCUGCUGAUCUUGAGCCUUUUUGCUUCCACAACCGCUGCAAUGACCAUUGCUAUGACCGAAACGAACAUUCCGAUCCCCAUCCGUUGCAUCACGCUAAUACCCUUUUCAUUAGACGUAACCAGACGCGUAAUCGGGAUCAUUAUUUUGUCAUAUAGAGGCAUCAGGAGGAUUAUGGAAAGUGUGAUAGCGCUUUGAAGAGUUGCUGGUGGAACCUUGAAGUUGCUUCCAAUGUUCCUCUUCAUCGUCAUGCCUUGUUUGGUGAAAAAUGUUGGAGGCUGUUGGAAAAUCACUGCAAACAUCAAAAGCAUAAUCCAUAUUGGCAGAAGCCUCAAAAGCACUUUUGCAUUUUCAAGCACGUAGAAGCCACUUUUGGGAUUCCCAACCAAGCUUGCUGUGCUGCUAUUAUUUUGACGGCAAAGCGGUUUCUCUUGAAGCCUAUAUAGUAUAAAACCAGCCAAAUAAUAUAUCAUUAGCAUCAGAAUUCAGUUACAUUAAUUCUAAUGAAAAUGACUUGAAAACUUUGAGUUUUAACGAUAAUAACAAAAUAAAUGGUAAAGUGAAUAGUACUGUAAUUGACUUUUUAGUAUAAAAAUGUGGUUUUUCAUUAAAGUGAACAAUACCGAAAGCUUUUCGUUAAAGUUUCCGUAAUCCUAAGAGAAAAUUUUUUAUCCACACUCCCAUUUUCUCCUUUUGGCAGUCGUCCAUUUAUUUAUGUCACUUCAUUCUCCUUUGUUUAUUCAACCCAACAGGUAAGGGAGGAGUGCAUGGGAGAAAAACGGUGUGGGAAAAUCAUUUCUUUAAUUGUAAACUUGACCGUUAAAACCACAAAAAGAAGUACCAUGUUAGAAAUUAGUUAACUUACUCUAGCUCGGUAACAUUAGUUUCAUUCGGUAAUAUGAUUCUGCAUUUCAUUAACUUUAAUGCAGUUGCCUUGAUGACUUGAACUAUGUUGAAAAUAGGCUUAUAAUCCAUGGCCUCAUCAUUCUCUCUAUAUGUAUAGAUUCGGCUUCCACACAUAAACACCACAACCGAUAUAACCAUCGAUAUCAUGGGGAUGGCGAAACCUAUAAUCCAACCGAAAGUGUCUUGAAUGUAGGACAUGAGAGUGACACCCAUGAGGCUGCCACUGCAAACACCAAAAUACCACCACUGAAAAAACAUUCUCUUUUUGCUUGAUUUUUGAUCGUCUUUGCUGCUAGGAAGUUCCUCUUCACUGUCCAGUUGGUCUGCUCCAAAUGCUUGCAGCGAUGGGUUGUAUCCACCUUGACCUAGAGAAAUCAAGUACAGAGAGCAAAACAGAAAUGAUGAAUUGGAACUUGUUUUGUUUGCAGCAGGUGUUGCCCGUUUGAAUGCCGUUGAUGUCAAUGCCACAAGCCCCUAGAAACAAAACCACGUACAUGUGAGCUUAUAGUUUCACCUUUUCUACACAUUUAGAGCAAAAAUUUAUCGUGACCAAAUUGAAAGUCGUGAGGCCAGAUUAGAAAAAGGUCAUAAACGGUAGUUGUAGUUGGGAGGUUUUAUUUAUAAAAGACCUCAGCGCAAUUAGUAGUAAACUUGCUUGUUUUUUUUUUCUAACAGUAAACCCGCUCAUUAUGACCUUAUUCUUCAACAAUAAAUUAAGAGGCAUUUCUUAAAAAUCUCCACUAUAUUCUAAUGGAAAGAAGAUUAGUGCAGAUGACUCAUACUCCAUUUUAAAUCUAUCAUCAGCAACAUCUUGAUAAAAAAAUUCCGAACAAAAAAAAAAAACAUUAUUUGUGCUGAGCUUUUAAACUUUUAGCAAAAGAGGAAUUUCUGUUCAAUAAGAUACCUAAGUAGAUGCAUCCACUUUUCACUAUAGAAAUUCCUAUUUAUCAGUGAUAUCCUAUGAUCAAGAUAAUUGGCCUAAAUUUGCUAAAACUAUUUUAUAGAUAGUCAUUGAUAUUAAGUAAGAGUCCAAAGAAGAGAGUAAGUGCAUAUGUGGGUUAGGUCAGUUGACCAGUGCAGUGUGCACACCUUGCGCUAGAAUUUGAAUCUCACUUUCAACUAGUUAGAGAUAUCCCUUUUUGUCAAAAACAAAGGAAGGGAAGGGAGAAAACAAAGUGAAUGUGUACACUUACUGCAACAUAGAGGAAAGAAGAGACCAAGAUGGUGGGAUAUCUAUCCCAGUAAGAGUCGACAAGGGGUGCAACUAAGAGUGGGAGCAUGGAUGUGAACCCACACCAACUGUUUACCGUCUUGGCCGCUGCCGAGUUGCUCAUUUUCACCACAUCGGUUAAAUAAGUCACUAGAUUUGAUGCCACUCCUUUGUAUGCAAAUCUCUCCAUCCCAGCAAUCACUAUAAUUAUAAAUAAACAGACAAAAAUUAACCCAUCUGGCCGGUAAAACUCAUAUCAUGAAGAGAGUAUGAUUAAAUUACCUAUCAGAAGAAAGCAAGAGGAGCCGAGUCUUUUUCCUCCUGAUCCAGCCAUGAUGUUCCAAAAUUAUAUCAAAGGAUGGCUGCUUGUGAUCCCUUUAACAUAUAACCUCUGCUUUGAUGUGAUGCGAAGCUACUAGAGUAUUAAGCUAUAGCCACGGAGCUCGGCUUUGGCUCUCCUAUAAAUCUGUCAUCAUUCGAAGAUUACUGUGCUGCUACUGUUGUUUUCAUAUUCCCACCAACAAGCAAUAAUGCAAACUUCAUCAUCAUUGGCAAUAUAUUUCCUUCCUUCCCAAACACUAUGUUUUGUAUAUAUAAUGAUAAGCUCUCCAACAAUGCUCGCACAAAAUUAUAAGGCAAUGGAAAGAGCUAUCAGAGUUUAAUGGAUUCCACUUUAUUUUAUUUUUUUUCAGUUUUGGGCAUGGUGUCUUCAUGGCGACGUGACCAAGAAAGCAAUGAUCUGAUGCAACAAAAUAAGCCCCAUACGUCAGUCUCUAACGUUCACUGUUUGAUAUCUACUGAUAUAUGUACCACAUAAUGGAACACGUGGAGCGUUUGACACGUAGGAUGGGGCCAGCCCUCCUGCUUUGUGUUCCAUGUGAUGCGAAUCAUGUGAUAUUAGGAAAAAAUUUAAUUGUGACGGAAAUACGGCGGGUACAUCACGUGUUUUUAUAUAAAUGGUGGAAAUGUUUAAUUUUUAAGUUAUUAACAUUUUAACAUACAUAACCCACCAUUUAUAUAGGGACACGUGAUGUACCACUUUGUUUGACGGGAACACUGAAAAAUCUCUCGUGAUAUACAUGGAAGAUUACCAAGGUUAUUCCAAUUAAGUUUCAACUAGUAAUUAUAUAAACCAUAUAGACUUGAUGGAUGAUAAAUAAAUGGGAUACUUUCAUGCAAUUAAACCCUAAAAGUAGCUUACUUAACCAUUAAUGUUUUCUUGCCAACCAUACAUCAAAGGCAUGUUAGAAUAGGUUCCUUAAUUUUUAGAAUUUUCUCUGUGAUUAUUGUUUUUUAAGGUAAUAAGUAUUUUAUUAAACAAAUAAAACGAAAAACAUCGACAUCAAAAUACAAUUUUAUAAGACUUUUUUUAUUAGCACACCAUAUACUGUUGAAUACAUAUUAAAUGACUUAUACACCUUACUAUGCAAUGCCAAUUUCGACCUUAUUAGGUUAGAAUAAAAAAUAAAAAAAUUGAAUAAACCCAAAUCGCUUUUAACGUAUUAUUUAUCUACUUUUUUUGUCUUCCCAACAAAUGCAAGCAAAAUGAUAAAACUGCCGGAUUAGAACUUGAAUGGGUGUGAAGAAAUUAACGAUAUUGCUUUAUAUAUGUCGUCUCACAGCAUAACCCCAAUUAAAAGAAAUGAUAAUAGUAAUAAAAUGGCUAAACACAAUCUCUGUUCUGCACUCAACACCAAUAAAUAAAUAUGUUUUCUUUUCAUACAUAUGAAAAUGCAAUGAAACUACAUCAACAUUCAACUACGUUUUUGCCAAUCUGGGCAAAGUCCUAGCAAUAUUCACAUUACAAGAGACCUUCUGAUUGUUCUCCUUUCCCUUGUUGCUUUUACCCUCGAAUUUUUGUCAUUAAACCUCAGCGUAUUACCUCGUUUGCCACCUUCAACAGAGUCACAGCAUCCUCAUCUUCCUCCAAUCUUGAUUGUGACUGAGUAUUAUAAGAUGUGAAGAAUGUGGGGUGUAUAGAAAAUAUAAGGUGUAUGUUGAGAAUAGGGGUGGGAGGGUAAUAUGGGAAAGUAAAUAGGAUGUAUUAAGAUAAAUUUUAAUUGAAAAAGUAAAUAUGGGGUGUAUUAAGUAUGUAGGAUUUAUUCAACAAUAUGUGAAGUGUAAAUAUAAUAAACCUUUUAUAAUUAUAAACUCAACAGAAAGACAAUAAAAAAGUCACUUUUAAGUUAAUUUUAUUUACUUUACAUUUCUCAUCCGAGGAAUGAAAAGUAAAUAAAACCAAUUUAGAAAACAAUACUCGUAUAUUCAAAAUGAUAACAUAAACAUCUUAUAAAUUGUCAAAUUAUUUUGCAUAUCAUAUUUAUUUUGCAUCAAAACUAAUGAUUUGAUGUAAACAUUUCACAAACAAUAACAUGCAUGUGCCACACUUAUGCACGUAAUUUCCAUAUAAUUAAGAUUCAAUACUAAAAGAUGAAUGAAGAUCCUCUUCGAAUCCUCUUUGUGAGAAUGCCGGAAAUCCUUUAAUCGUAUUCGUUUAUCGUACAUCAUGCGAUCAAAAAUCAUUGUAAAUUUUUCAUUUCAAAUUGAAUAUUAAUAGCAUUUGACAAAAAUUAGUCGUACGAUAUGCAAUAAACAGACAUGAUUAAAAGAUCUUCGAGAUCUUCAAUAAUACUACUAGCUACUACUACCACAAGAUAAUAUUCCAUGAUGAUCAGAAAGCAGCCUCUUUAUCCUACGCAUAAAACACUUUUGACUGAGUGUCCAAUCUCCAUUAAUAAUGACAUGCAACUUUCACCAUUUUUAAUAUUAAGGUUUCCAUUUUUCAUUUUCAUGUUUUUCACUCGCCAAACCGGUCGGUUCUCUCCUUUCAGUCUGUUACAAUUUGUUCAUCUUUUUGUGUCGAUAAAUCCGCACAAUUAGGGCAACAGAAGCAAUCAAGUUUUGAGUUCGUUUGAUGUUUGGAUGCGUUACGUUUGAGAAUUGAACUAAGAGAGAGAUUCAUCAGCAUGCGUUACUUGUGAAGGCAAAGCAUGCAGAUGAUGUGAAGUUGUGAAUGACAAUGAAUGAUGUAUUGGAUUACUUAUGUUGUAAGCCAUUUGUUUAUGAGUUGUUAACGACAAAAGUAAUCUGAUAGUCCUAGUGAAUAGGGGUGGGCACUUAAAACCGAAACACGAACCAAAUCGAACCGCACCGAACGGUUUGGUUUUGUGGUUUUGGAACGGUUUUGAUUUUGAAACCGAACCGCAACAUAGAAAACGGUUUGAUUUCGGUUUUGGCUUUUGAAAACCGCACCGAAACUGAAUCACAUCGCAAAUAUUAAUAAACAUUUAAUUAAAUGUCCAUAUUAAAUUUCAUGUUUUAAUUUGUUGUUUGUUAGAAUCCAUGCACUUAGUAUGGACACAACCACACUAGAAUAUCAUCAUUCAUCACUUUCUUUCGUUCAUUAACUUGAAGGACCUUUGUUAUUUUAUACCAUCACACACACACACACAUAUAUGUACAAGGGUGGACUAAUCUUGUUAUCAAGAGUCGAACAAUGAUCUAAUGAAGUGCACUCAUUUGAAGCAUGAUAUCACAUAUUCUAGUAUGAAAGUUUCGCUCAUGUUUAAUGAAUUCAAAGUUAUUCAACUUGUUUUAUGUUAUACCUUGUACGAGACACCUUUUAGUUGCACAAACAUAUUUUAACAUAACAACUGCAUGCAACAUGCUAAUUGUUUAUAUAACAAAUGUCUUUUUCUUAUUACUACUGGGAAAUGCUUAUUAAUAUGUUAAAUUGCAAAUUGUACAUUUUUUCUUAAAAACCAAACCUAAACCGUUUGAAACAGCACCGAACCGAACCAAACGGUUUGGUUUCAUUUCGGUUUUGGCUUCAAAACCGCACAGAAUCAAACCGCAAAAAAAUUUGGUUUCGGUUUUGGUUUCACUACAAAUAUAUAGAAUCAUGGUAGGACUCAAUCACUUAAGUAAUAAAAUGGCUAAACACAAUCUCUGUUCUGCAAUUCAACACCAAUAAAUAAAUAUGUUUUCUUUUAAUACAUCUAAAAAUGCAAUGAAACUACAUCAACAUUCAGCUACGUUUUUGCCAAUCUGGGCAAAGUCCUAUUACCAUUCACAUUACAAGAGACCUUCUGAUUGUUCUCCUUCCCUUGCUGCUUUUACCCUCGAUUUUUUGUCAUUAAACCUCAGCGUAUUACCUCGUUUGCCACCUUCAACAGAGUCACAGCAACCUCAUCUUCAUCCAAUCUUGAUUGUGACAGAGUAUUAUAAAAUGUGAAGAAUGUGAGGCGUAUAUAGAAAUGUAAGGUGUAUGUUGAGAAUGGGGUGGGAGGGUAAUAUGGGGAAGUAAAUGGAGUGUAUUAAGAUAAAUUUUAAUCGAAAAAGUAAAUGUGGAGUGUAUUAAGUAUGUAGGGUUUAUUUAACAAUACGUGAAGUGUAAAUAUAAUAAACCUUUUAUAAUUAUAAACAAGGUUCUAAAAAACGCUAGGCGCUAGUCGAGCGGCGGGCUAGCGCCUAGCGCCUAGGCGGCCUAGGCGGAUUUAGGUAAAUUUCUUGUAUAUCUUGUAAAUAAGUACAUAUUGACACCUAAAAAAAAAUUAUACUUGUAUGGAUAAUAAAAUAAUGGUCAAAUGCAAAUUAGGUACACAAUUUCCAUAAGUAUUGGAUGAACUUGUAGUAAAUCCAUCAUUUGCAAAUUAGAUACACCAUUUCCAUAAGUAUACCACCAUGAAACAAAAAAAAAGAAAAAAGCACGCAAUUAAUAAAAAAUAAAUAAUAAAAAAACCUCCUAGGAUCGCCUAGGGCCGCCUAGGACCGCCUAGCCCACCUAGUUGCCCAGCACGCCUAGGCCCAACCCGAUUUUUCCGCCCGAUUUGCCCAAAAACGCCUCGGUUGCUAGGCACCCAACGCCUAGGCGGCCGCCUAGGGCGUUUUUUAGGACAAAGAUUAUAAACACAAAAGAAAGACAAUAAAAAAAAAGUCACUUUUAAGUUAAUUUAAUUUACUUUACAUUUCUCAUACAAGGAAUGAAAAGUAAAUAAAACUAACUUAGGAAACAAUACUCGUAUAUUCAAAAUGAUAACAUAAACAUCUUAUAUAUUGUCAAAUUAUUUCGCAUAUCAUAUUUAUUUUGCAUCAAAACUAAUGAUUUGAUGUAAACUUUUCUCAAACAAUAACAUGCAUGUGCCACACUUGUGCACGUAAUUUCCAUAUAAUUAAGAUUCAAUACUAAAAGAUGAAUGAGGAUCCUCUCUAGAUCUUCUUUAUGAGAAUCUUGGAAAUCUUUUAAUCAUAUUCGUUUAUCGUACAUUAUGCGGUCAGAAAUUAUUGUAAUUUUUUUAUUUCAAAUUGAAUAUUAAUAGCACCUGACAAAAACUGAUCAUACGAUAUAUGAUAAACAGACAUGAUUGAAAGAUCUCCGACAUCCUCACAAUGAGGAUUUGGAGAUGAUCCUCAAUAAUACUACUACUACAAGAUAAUAUUCCAUGAUGAUCAGAAAGCAGCCUCUUUAUCCUACGCAAAAAACACUUUUGACUGAGUGUCCAAUCUCCAUUAAUAAUGAUAUGCAACUUUCACCAUUUUUAAUAUUAAGGUUUCCAUUUUUCGUUUUCAUGUUUUGUACUCGCCAAACCGGUCGGUUCUCUCCUUUCAGUCUGUUACAAUUUGUUCAUAUUUUUGUGUCGAAAAAUCCACACAAUUAGGGCAACAGAAGCAAUCAAGUUUUGAGUGCAUUUGAUGUUGGGAUGCUUUACGUUUGAGAAUUGAACUAAGAGAGAGAUUCAUCAGCAUGCGUUACUUGUGAAGUGCAAAGCAUGCAGAUGAUGUAAAGUUAUGAAUGACAAUGAAUGAUGUAUUGGAUUACCUGUGUAGUAAGCCACUUUGUGUAGUAAGCCACUUGUUUAUCGAGUUGUUAACGACAUAAGUAAUCUGAUAGUCCUAGUGAAAUACGGAUUAUGGAAUCUUAACCCUUGCAAUUGACCUCAAAGAAAUCUAAUAGGUUUCACUACAAAGAUAUAGAAUCAUGGUAGGACUCAAUCACUUAUGUGAUAGGUUUUGAUUUUCACAACCAAUAAUAGGCCGGCUGUGAUUAAGCCUUAAUGAUAUAAGUACUAUGGUUAAGUCCCUUCUUUCAUACGCUUAAUCUCUUAGAUACGCUAUACGCUGGACUCUAUUCAUAUAGCAGAGAGAUAUUAUUGAAUUCUUGGAAGUAGAAGACAACCUGUGGACUCAAGCCACCAUGUCUCCAAUCGGUGCAAGUUAGUGUCAUUCAUCUUCUUCUUGUAAUUAUCAUGAUGCAUGUUAAAUUGUGAUCCUAGAACCAUGUUGUAUUAGCCCACCUUACAGAUGACACACAGAGACACACAAGUGACAUACGCAGACAUACAGUUUACACACACAACUGCAGACGUACAGACGUGCAUGCACCUGCACUUAUUUUAUAUAUACAGUUGUGUAUAUAUAUGCAGUGGUGGCUGACGAGGAUGGCUGCUACGUAUAAGUUUUAGCUAGGAAUUAAACUAAGAAAUCUAAAUUCAAAAGUUAGGUAAAAGAUAACUAGCUGAAGAUAUGUAGUCUGGGAAGGGACAGAUGGAGGGAGCGUGAAGGUUCUUCAGUGCUUCGAGGAGUAGUUAUAAACUUUUCAUUUGGGUGGCUUGCAACGAUGGAAAGCACUUGAUUUCUUUAUGAAAGCGACUAGCGAUUUGUAGUGAAAGAUUUAUGAGAGAUAAAACAAAACAAAACCGUCAGUCCUAGGAAAGUACAGUCAUGUAACGUUACUAUUUCACUUAAAUUAUAAUACCUAUAUUUGUAUUUUAUUAAUAAAUUUUAGAAGUAAGACAUAUCAGUUAUGUCUUUAACCUUUAUUAUACAAAUAAUACAUUAUGUGACUUGUGUUCUCAGUAUUUAUAAAACUUAUAUGAUAUUAUAUUUUCUCAAGAGAUGAGCGCCUUUUAGUGGUACCCUACUUUUGAGUUGUGCAUGGUUGAGCUAGCUACACAUGAUAAUCUUUACAAGAGGGGUCGACAGUGACAGGGACAACAAUGGAGGUAAAAGAACUGUCGUUUUGUAAUCUUAAAUUCUACGAUGGUUGAGUUGACACACGUAUGCAAAGCAAUAUAGAGACAUGAGUGCGGACACAUUCUUGGAUAUUCUUCCGAUUUACAUAAACACACUCCACAUGUUAUGCUGUAUUUAUAGGUAUGGAAUUUUUGUACAGCGCAGUUAAUUACACCUUUGAAUGUAACACAAGGGACUAUUAUUUAUAAAUUAAUUUAUUAAUUUAUUAAUUUAUAUUGUUGAUGCACGAAAGAGUAACCAACGGAUAGUAGAUGAAGUUGAUCAGAUGUGCAGUUGUGCUAAUUACAAAAGACGCACUCUCAUGAUGUUUAGUUUGUUUCACUUAAACACCACAUAUAUGUAAACAUUUAGUACUUGUUUGGAAGUCUUUAAAAUGACUGAAAAUAUUUUUAGUGAAAUUAUUUUUGGAUUCCAAAAGAAUUUGAACUGCUUUCUUCAUGAAGCACCAGUGAUGUGUUUCUUGCAGGAAGCAUUUCAAGUGUUUUUUUCAAAAUUCACUUACAUUUUUAUUAAAGAUUAAUUUCAAAAGCAAUUCAUCAAAAGUACUAUCAGUCAUUCUAAAAUCACUUCUAAAAUGUUACCUUAUUAUAGGGUUUUUUAGUCAAAAUGGUCUUUGAGAUUGACAUAUAUAACUUCUCACGUUGGUUCUUGAGAUUUAAAAUCGAUAGAAGUAGUCCAUGAAUUUGUCCACCGUCAAUCAUUUUCGUCCUUUAUUUAUUAAAAUUGUGGGUAUUUUGUCCUUUUGGUCCUUAUUUAACAUUUUUCAUGGAAUUACCAAAAUGAUUGAUGGAGGGACCAAAGUGAAGAGCUAUUUCAAUCUCAAAAGACCAUUUUGACUAAAAUAUCUUAUUUAUAUAUGUUCAUACCGUAUCAUACAUAGACUUAGCUUAGAUUAUAUCCUUAACUUGUUUGUGGUUUCUUUUUUCGCAUAGGUUUAAUCAAGUCUAAGUUGGGAAAGAAUGUUUGAGAUAAUAUAAACUUUUGAAGUUACGUGAAGUAAGUGAAAUUUAUAUUUAAUGGACAAUGUAGUGACUUUCUCUUUCCUGAUUAACUCAUCGUCAUCAUCAUAUGAUAAAAAUGCUUACGUGACUACGUCAAUCAAAUGGCCUAGGGGAACUCCCGGAGUGGAGGAGGAAUGCUUGAGAAGGAAUUUCAGUGGCCGAUUUGCAGAAGACUUUUUAGUCAAAAUGAUUUUUGAAAUUAGCAUAACUUUCUCUUUGGUUUCUGAAAUUUACUUACUUUGGUCAAUAUUCAUUUCCAUCUUGAUUAUAUCUUCAGUUAUCCCAUUACUCAGAAACUCGGCAAAAAUCUUGCUCCAAAUAUUUCCUGGAGCACACGAGCAGGAUUUGAGAAAAGCUCUUAUCGAGGUUAGGAAGAUAAGGGGGGUUUCUGGCAUUCGAAACUGGCACGUGUGGAGUUUCACAAACUCAGACGUAGUGGUGUUUCGACAGAAUUUGACAGGGUUGCUGCAAGGGCACGAGUAUCACAGGUACUACACGAAGCUGGAGUCAAGGAUAUAACAUUGCAGUUGGAAUGCGUUGGGUCAUAGCAUUAGAACUUUGACAACUUUCAUCCCUUGACAGAAUUGACAGUGACAUUGUAGCCCAUUUAUUGUGGACUCGAUGCGAUUUAGGACCCUGUUGGCGAUUCCAGAUGGGUUCUCCGGCGCCUCUUUCGCCAUCGUUUGGGGACUUCUUUGUGUACAUCUUGAAGCUGAGAAAAAGAUUUUGUCAAACAUUAUGAAGUUUAUGAUACCAGAUGUUUUUCUGCUUGAAGAUGGGCAUGCAUCUUUCCCUCUUGUCAUGAGAAGUGGUAGCUCAUGUUUGUGUGGCUAAUGAAUGUAAUGGUGUUUGGACAUGUCAAGAAACAUGCAAAGGGCAAUAGUUGUGUUGGGUAGAUUGGAUGUAUGUAAACUUCUUUUAGUAGGUAAUACAAUAUAAUGUAGUUUGUGGUUCAUGUUCGAGCGAUAUUCUGAUAUAAUUUAUAUGUUCGAGAGAUAUUAUGACAUAAAAUAUAUUAAGAGAGAAAUUCAAGUGUGAGACUAUGUUUUAGCUAAUUUGCCUACGUUUAGUCUGCCUUACUUUAACUCUAUAACGAGAAUUAUCAUUGAAAUACUAGAGAGUUGAUAAUGAUUAUGUAUAUUUCAAAUUAUUUUAAUCUACGGAUAGAGAGACUCGAACAAGUGAAAGGAUAUAUUUUUGACAAAGGAUAAUGUUAUUUACACAAUCAUUUUUACCUUCCACACACCCAUGUUAAUUUUUGUCAUUGAUUUCUUCAAUUCAUUCAAUCCAAUGGUCGAACAUUGAGAGGGUUGUGUGAGAACUAAAAAGAGCGCGUGGAAUGUUCAAAAAAGAAUUCCAGAUUUUCUGAGCUCUCAUUUUCUCUCUUUAGAAACUCUCUCCAUAAACCCCCUUGAACCAGAGCCAAACCCUAGCCUUCCUCCAUGGCCGCCGACCUUUGGCUAAGGCUAGGGGUCGGUGGCAGCUUCUCCUCCUCCUCCUAGCCUCCCUCCCUUCUCCCCGUCCCCUUUUUCCUUUCCAUUCCCCCUGCCACCUCAAUUUUCUCUUGCCUCGCCAAACACCCCCUCUGUUUCUUAGGCCAUUUCCCCAUCCUAGCCUUUCUCAGCCUUCCACCCUCAUUUCCCCUCUCGUUUCUCUCCUCUUUCAUUCAGAUCCAGACCUUGCCUUCCCAAGGGUGCUGAUCCGUUGGAAUCACGUUUACAUCACUCUGCUUGGUGUUGUGAUUUGCCGGAAUCCAUGCUCGGAUUUGAGCGCAACGCUUCCUUGGUGGUGUUGCUUUGGUUUGGGUUUGCAAAUCUGGCGGUGGCUUUGUCUGGGCCACUAUUGUUGGUGGUUGCAUUUUUCAGAUCUGGAAUUUAUGCCGCAUGUGGUUCAUCUUUGCAUCUCUGCUGGACUUGUGGAUGUGGCGGACCCAGAUGGUGUUUAGGGUUUUUGUCGUCUUGUGCCUCGGCACGACUAUAAUCCUUGCCUGAGGGUUCUUUCCCCCACCGGAUUGUGUCGUUUAAUGGUUCCCUUCCUGGAUUAGUUUUUCUAGCCUAGUUUAGUUUAAUUUAAUUUAGUUUAGUUUUGAGUUAGUUUAGUCUAACUCUAUCGCCACGCCUAACGAGUGUUAUGGCCGCGCUACAAUGAUGGUUGUACUUGGUUUCCGCUUUGAGCGUUAUAUUAUGUGGUCUCAUCUACUAACGAUGACUUUAUGUGGUCGUGCUAUUCAACGGUGACUGUUUGCAUUCACCUAUACAAAUAUGUUAUAUAUUGUUUAUAUGACAGGUUUGUAUGGAUGUAAUGGGAAGUUCUCGUACAUGUGGUAACUGUCUAGGGGUUUACUAUUAUUGUCUCUUUUGCACAAAUUCACCUUCAGAUCAUUUUCUUGGACGCUGAAGGAUUGUACCCAAUUGACACCUAUAUAUUGCUCUCGAAUGAUUAAUGAAAUACCAAAUAUCGUUGCUUAUCAAAAAAAAAAAAAAAGUGGGCGUGGAUAGCGUGCCAAACGACGUCGUAGAUGGUGUCGAGUUCAAGCAAGAUCUAAAAUAUCGAUAUUAUCUUGAUAUUUCCAUCGAAAUUUCCGUGUUUUUGGACUACCGAUAUUUCCGAUAUCAUCGAUAUUUUAGACCUUGAUAGGAACUCUAUGUGGUACUAAGUCACUCAUGUAUCUUACCAUGCAAUGUAUAAAGUGUAAAAUAUUGUACUAAUUCAUUGUAUAAAUGAUUAUGAUGUGUUUAAACUUCUUUCAUUAAUUACUACAUAUUUUAUACACUCACAAUGUUUGCCAGCUCGCUAUAUAAUCAACUUAAAUUAGUUAAAUCCAUCAUGCAAUGCAUUUCUUUCCAAUUUUUUUGUGAUAAACUAAUAGAUAAUUGACUAAAUAAACAUUCUGUAAAGUUUCAAUAAAAAUUUCCAAGUUUUUCUUACAAUUUCCGUGGUUUUUAUUCAAUUUUUAUCGAUAUCGAUAAUAUCUCGAUAUUUCCAUCAAAAUUUCCAUGUUUUUGGACUACCGAUCUUUCUGAUAUCAUCGAUAUUUUAGACCUUGAUAGGAACUCUACGUGGUACUAAGUCAUUCAUGUAUCUUACCAUGCAAUGUAUAAAGUGUAAAAUAUUGUACUAAUUCAUUAUAUAUAAAUGAUUAUGAUGUGUUUAAACUUCUUUCAUUAAUUACUACAUAAUUUAUACAUUCACAAUGUUUGUCAGCUCGCUAUAUAAUCAACUUAAAUCAGUUAAAUCCAUCAUGCAAUGCAUUUCCUUCUAAUUUUUUGUGAUAAAUCCUGCAAAGUUUCAAUAAAAAUUUCCAAGUUUUUCUUACAAUUUUUGUGGUUUUUAUUUAAUUUUUAUCGAUAUCGAUAAUACCGAUAUUUCCUUCAAAAUUUUCGUAUUUUUAGACUACCGAUAUUUCCGAUAUCAUCAAUAUUUUGGACCUUGAGUUCAAGUAAUAUUCUCCCUUGGGAUCCGAUUUUAGCAAAAUUAUGAUUAAUUCGCAAUUCUCACCACAGAAGCAAAAAGUCAGCAUAUGUGCUUUAGUAACGAACUCUCUUCUCCUCCUCCAAAGCUUCAAACUUUGAGCUUGUCUCCGAGGAGCUGAGAUCUCCAGCCCAGCUCAAGAUCUAGGGUUUCCGUUUCAGUCAUGGGGGAGAAGGUAGUCGCUGUAAUCAUGGUGGGCGGGCCCACCAAAGGUACUACUCUUCGUACAAUUCAUAAUCUUUUCCUUCAAUUUUUGUUCUUCAAUUUUUCUGAUUUUUUUGCGUUUGAAUUUCUGGUCAGGGACUAGGUUUCGGCCUCUGUCAUUCAACACUCCGAAACCGCUGUUCCCAUUGGCUGGGCAGGCUAUGGUGUACCACCCCAUUGCAGCUUGUAAAAAGGUUAGCUUUUGGCUUCUGGCUUUUUGCUUUUGGAUUUUGGCUUUUCAACCUUUAACCAAAAUCCCAUCAAAGAAUUUUGAUUUCGAACUAAGUAGCAAGAUUUGAAUGCUUGCUUUUAUGCUACAGAUACCCAAUUUAGCACAAAUCUAUUUGGUUGGAUUCUAUGAAGAGAAAGAAUUCGCACUGUACGUGUCUUCCAUUUCCAAUGAGCUCAGAGUGCCAGUGAGGUACUUGAGAGAGGACAAACCGCACGGCUCGGCCGGCGGACUGUAUUACUACAGAGAUAUCAUCAUGGAAGACAGCCCGGUUCGAAUUCUAUGCUUAAUUCUCGUUUGUUUCCAUUUUCCACUGCUAUGUUUGUAAUAAGAUUUUGCUUAAUGCAAUGUUGUAUUUGUCUGUGGAACAGUCGCACAUCUUUUUGCUGAAUUGUGAUGUUUGCUGCAGUUUUCCGCUUGCAGACAUGCUUGGUGAGUUUUGUGUUCUGUAUUCGUGUAUGUUAAUUGGAAGUUUAUUGCGUGUAAUUAUAGAUAAGAUUUCAUAAAAGUAAUUCCUUUUAUUGCUUCUUGUUGUUCGUCGUUGCAGAGGCUCAUAAAGGAUAUAAGGGGAUGGGUACAAUGUUAGUAAUUAAGGUUAGUUUGGUGACAGACAGCUUGAAUUAUUGAAUAAUGUUGCAACUCUGCUCCAUAUUGCUGAUGCUCUUUCCUCUUGUUUUUUCGUCAUUCUAUUCUUCGUUUUUUGGUUCAUCUGUAGGUUUCUGCUGAAUCUGCAAACCAGUUUGGGGAGUUGGUUGCUGAUCCUGCCACCAAAGAAUUAUUGCAUUAUACUGAGAAGCCAGAGACUUUUGUACGUAAACGAUGCAGUAAAUGUUCAGAAAUUGUUCAUUUAGUUGGUGUUUGAUGAUCUCAAUUCUUCGUUUUAUUUGCUUGUUCCCGACCACUUUUUGUAAGGGUUAUCUAUUUUCUAAAUGCAGGUGAGUGAUUUGAUCAACUGUGGUGUAUAUGUAUUUACUCCAGAUAUUUUUUCUGCCAUUCAAGAAGUCUCCAGUCACCGAGAAGGCAGAGGUUUGUCUUUUUCUCUACUGGCAAUAUAGUUGUGGAUUGGUUUGCACUUGGGAUCAAAUUCUGGCUCUAAAGAUAUUAUGUUACUUGAUUUGUAAUUAUUGAGAACAAAUUUGGCCUCAACACUUAUUGCUAUUCCUAUUUUCCUUUACCCCUAUGAAGUAAAUAUGCAUAAAUUUUUCACAGUGAAUGAAUCAUUUGCUACUCCAUAGAAUAUUCAAAAUGAAGUCAUGAAGCUUGGAUCAUGAUGCAAAUGAAUAGCCGUGCAGAAUUCAUUGACGUCUGUCCAUAUCUGAAUAAUGAACUUAUUAUAGCUAUUUCUCAUUUGAAUUCCCUGGUUUCCAUCUUCUGGGAGUCUGACUUUGUAUUUGACAAUUGCAGCUAAUUUACGUCGUGUUUCCAGCUUUGAAGCCCUCCAGUCCGCAACAAGGUUGACAUCUUUAUCCUGGUUGCAUACUUAUACUUUGAAUAAUGAACUUAUAGCAAUUUCUCAUUUAAAUUCCCUGGUUUCACUUGAGAAGUGCUUACCGCUUGUCCAGAUCGUAUACUUUGUGAAUACCUGUUUAAAAGCUAAGAUCUUUUUGUGUUAGUACUUAGUACUAGAAGAAGGAACUUUUGUUUGGAAUGUCAUCUCUUGUGGCAUGAACGCAGUGCGUUUAGAAAUAGAGUUGUAACUGGUUUAAAUUUAGUGUGUGUCAGUUUUAAUGUUGAUUUACACUCCUUUCAACAGGACUCUUCCUACAGAUUUUGUUAGAUUGGAUCAAGAUAUUUUGUCACCUCUUGCUGGAAAGAAGAAACUGUAUACAUAUGAGACCAUGGAUUUUUGGGAACAGAUCAAGACUCCUGGGUAGCCUAAUUUAUCCUAAUAGCUUCCUUUAUUUUUCCUUUUUCCUUAAUCUUUACUAUCAUUUGCCUUAUACUAAUCUUUGUUUUCUGUUACAGAAUGUCUUUAAAAUGUUCGGGUUUGUAUCUUUCUCAAUUCCAAAUUAACUCCGAACACCUUUUAGCUAGUGGAGAUGGUACCAAGAAUGCUAGAAUUGUUGGUAAUGUUUAUGUUCAUCCAUCGGCAAAAGUACAUCCAACUUCUAAGGUAAGUUCACUUUCAUCUCAUCUUCUACUAAUAUACAUGUACCCCAUUUUGUUCUGUUCUUAUUUGCGGUUGCAUGUAUAUAUUGUACAUGAAUAUUGAACGGUGUAGGAUGGUGAAUAUAGUGGAGGCAGUAGUCAUUACUGACACUCUGAAGUAGAGCUUCCUUCUUCUGCAUUUCCUUCUAAGUGCGACUUACUUUUGUGCACAGAUUGGUCCCGAUGUGUCUCUUUCAGCAAAUGUUCGUGUAGGGGCAGGAGUAAGGCUUAUAAAUUGCAUUGUCUUGGAUGAUGUGGAAAUCAAGGUAUUGAAGUUGGUAUAUCGAUGGAUAAACAAGAACCAUAGCAUAUUGGGAAUGCUUUAGUGAAUUUAUCCAAACUUCAUUGUUCUAUUUCAUGACAGGAAAAUGCAGUCGUUAUAAAUGCUAUUGUUGGAUGGAAGUCGUCUAUUGGAAAAUGGUCGCGUGUCCAGGCAAGUCUAGCUAUGUAGUUGCAUGAUAAGGAAAACUAACAAACUUUAGCGAAUUAAACUAGUAACUCACCUUUUCUGUUAAGUUAUAGAUUUCUAUAAACUUGUACAGCUUGCUCGUCAUUCUUGUGGCGAACUAAAAACUUAAUUUACUGGUUUAGGCUGACGGAGACUACAGCGCAAAGCUUGGAAUUACCAUCCUCGGUAUGCAUGCCUGGUUUCUCAAUUCUUUCGUCUUUGAAUUUGAUGCCGUGGAAUGCACAAGUUUAUUUUUCAAUGCAUUUGACCGAUUUGAAGAGCCCUCUCGUUUUCUUUUCGCAGGAGAAGAGGUGACAGUUGAAGACGAAGUUGUGGUGAUCAACAGCAUCGUUCUCCCAAAUAAGACUCUUAACGUUAGCGUACAGGAGGAAAUCAUUCUAUGAUAUUCAAGAGAGAGCUUGCUUCCUGGUUUUUGCUCGCCGCUCGUGUUCAUGCCGGUAUUUUUGUUUAAUUAUUUUGGUUAACCAGCGUACCGUAUAAUUCAGCUACACAAGAACAGCUACGCAACAUUUUUGUUUCGACGGAGAAUGCAUUUGUAUCAGAUAUGUAAAAGUUUAUUUGUUUACGAAGGAUUGCUUUUCAGUGGGUUCAAAAACAGUCUCAAAUGUGCCGGAAAGCGUUAAUGUCGAAAUGAAAUCGAACUUGAGACCUCGAGUUACUACUUUUCUAGUACCUAAAAAUUCAAAUUUAACUUUAACUUUAACUCAAUUGGAGUAUAUAUAAGAGUAAAUUGUAGCAAUGGUUCUUCAAUUUUAACUCAAUUGGAGCAAUGGUUCGUCAACUAAAAAUUCAUUAGCAUUGGUCUUUUAACUCAUCAAAACGUGCAGCUAUAGUCUCUCAACUAAAAAUUCAUUGUCAAUGGUCCCUCAACUUUAAUCCAACUGGAGAAAUGGUCCAUCAAUUUUAACCCAAUUAGAGAAAUAGUCUCUCAACUUUAACUCAAUUUUAGCAAUAGUCCUUCCAACAUAACUCUUUUUAACAAAAUUUUGACGAAGUUGACGAAAAUGAUCAUAGCUACACGUUUUGAUGAGUUGAGGGACCAAUAGUAAUAGAUUUUUAGUUGAGGGACCAUUGCUACAAUUUACGUUAUAUAUAUUAUAUCACAUAAAAUUGGCCUUUUAGCCAAAAUGAUACAUGAAAUUGACAUAGCUUCUCAAUUUAGACCAUGAGAUUUGAAAUCGAUAGAAGUGAUUCCUGUGUUUGAAUAUUGUCAACCAUUUUAGUCUUUUUCUUAAAAGAAUUUCGUUGAAUAAGGGUAAAAUAACAAAAAUAUUUUGAAUUUUUGUGAAAUCAUUUUGGCCAAUUUUAUACUAAAUUGAGGUUAUUUUUAUUAUUUUGAUCCUUGUUUAACAACGAUUUUUUGCGAAAUGACCUAAAUGAUUGACGAUAAACAAAAUCGAACCAUUUCUAUCAAAUUCAAAUAUUAGAAACCAAAAUAAUGAGUUAAACUGAUCUCACAAUUGUAGCUAAAAAGUCAAGAAAAAUAAAGAAGUCAAUAGUGUCGAAGAGAAAAGUCCAAUAAUCCGACAGAUCCGAUUGGUAUUGCCGUAUUGAUCCAGUCGUCACUACACUAACCAAAACUGCACUACUACAAACAAACUGAAAACUCUCCACCGCGGGGUCCACCCACCAUUAGCAAGCAAACGACCGACUGUAAAGUGCGUCUCCUCCUCUUCCUCCUUCCCUUCGAUAUCAUUUCGCCCAAAGCAAAACAAACGACAAUGGCUUUCUCAUCGUACAUCGGCAGCACCCGCCGCGGCGGUUGGGCCAACUCCCUCCUCCCCUCCUCCUCCGCUUCCAACCCCAAAUCCAAGCUCACCAGAAAGCCCCGCAGGCGAUUAUCCCUCCGCGACUUCAUCUUCGCAAACUUCUUCAUCAUCGGCCUCUCGAUCUCCCUCUUCCUAUUUCUCAUCGUCAUCCUCCGCUACGGCGUCCCCACACCCCUCUCCACCCACUUCAAAUCCAAAUCCUCCACCCGCUUCUCCAAGCCCCGAAAGCCCGUCUCCCGCAAACCCGAUUCGGGCGCCGACGCCGCUGCGGGGGCCACCGUUGACAUCACCACCAAGGAGCUGUACGACAAGAUUGAAUUCUCGGAUGUGGACGGCGGGCCGUGGAAGCAGGGGUGGCGGGUGAGCUACAAAGGGGACGAGUGGGACUCUGAGAAAUUGAAGGUGUUUGUGGUGCCCCAUUCGCAUAACGAUCCCGGCUGGAAGCUCACCGUCGAAGAGUACUACGAUAGGCAAUCCAGGCAUAUUCUCGACACCAUUGUCGAUACGCUUUCUAAGGUGAGCAAAAAGAUUCAAACUUUUAAUUGGGUUUUGCUUGAGCUUAAAUUUUACUCAUUUGGGUUAAAUUUUAUUGUUUUAUAUGAUUAGUGCAUUGAGUUCAUAUAUUCCGGUUAAUAUAUCUGCUAAUGCUUUUUCUUGGAUUGAUUGUUUUAAUUAUGGAAGAACUUGCAUUUUGUAUGAUAGCAGUAAUUGCAGCUGAGAAAAAACUAUAGGUUAACUACAUAUAAUUUUGGUUUUGCUGUUCUGUUGAGGUUUUUCUGUUUUCGAAACUUUCCGAGAUUGUGUGUGAUUCAGUUGAGUGGAUUUUUCCUGGAUGUGUAGGAUUCUCGGCGCAAGUUUAUAUGGGAAGAGAUGUCUUAUCUGGAAAGAUGGUGGAGGGACUCCUCUGAUCACAAAAGGGAGUCAUUCACAAAUUUGGUGAAGAAUGGUCAGCUGGAAAUUGUUGGAGGUGGCUGGGUAAUGAACGAUGAGGUAAUAUUCAUAUAUGUAAGCUUUUGUUUAAUUGCAUGCUUGUUUUUACUGGUAUAGCAUAUGCUUAGACUACUCUUAGAUCUACAUUGAUUUUUUAACCAAUGCGUUCGUGUUGUUGAAGCUUAAUAGAUUGGUUCUUCUUCUUGAUGCAGGCUAAUUCACAUUAUUAUGCCAUAAUUGAGCAGGUACAUUAUAUUAAAUUUUUUAUAUUGUUCUUUGUUAAGAUUUUAUGCAUCUCUUAUGCUGCUGAAUUGCUUCUUAUAUCUUUCGGCAAUUGAUGUAUCAGAUGACUGAAGGAAAUAUGUGGUUGAAUGAAACUGUUGGGGUUGUUCCUAAAAAUGCAUGGGCAAUAGAUCCGUUUGGAUACUCACCUACCAUGGCAUAUCUUCUCCGUCGCAUGGGUUUCGAAAAUAUGCUUAUUCAGAGGACCCAUUAUGAGCUGAAGAAGGAACUUGCACUGCAUAAAAAUUUGGAGUAUAUAUGGCGUCAGAGCUGGGAUGUGGAUGAAACUACUGAUAUUUUUGUCCAUAUGAUGCCCUUUUAUUCUUAUGAUAUUCCACAUACUUGUGGGCCAGAGCCUGCCAUUUGUUGUCAGUUUGACUUUGCUCGAAUGCGUGGCUUUGUUUAUGAACUUUGUCCGUGGGGAGACAAUCCAGUAGAGACCAACCAGGAAAAUGUUCAGGAGCGGGCACUUAUUCUACUGGAUCAAUAUAAGAAGAAAUCAACACUGUACAGGACAAAUACACUUCUUAUUCCUCUUGGAGAUGAUUUCCGCUACAUAAGCAUCGAUGAAGCUGAAGCUCAGUUUAGGAACUACCAAAUGUUGUUUGACUAUAUCAAUUCUAAUCCCAGUUUAAACACAGAGGUCAAGUUUGGAACUUUGGAAGAUUACUUUUCGACCCUUCGUGAGGAGGCUGAAAGAAUAAAUCAUUCACUUCCUGGUGAGAUUGGUUCUGGUCAGGUUGGGGGUUUUCCUUCUUUGUCAGGUGACUUCUUCACUUAUGCUGAUAGGCAACAGGACUAUUGGAGUGGCUAUUAUGUGUCCAGGCCUUUCUUCAAGGCUGUUGAUCGAGUACUCGAGCAAACACUUCGUACCACAGAUAUGAUGAUGGCUUUCCUGCUUGGGUACUGCGAGAGAGCACAAUGUGAAAAGUUGCCCAUGGGGUUCUCCUACAAGUUGGCUGCUGCCAGGAGGAACUUGGCUCUUUUCCAGCAUCAUGAUGGUGUGACUGGUACUGCUAAAGAUCAUGUGGUCCUGGACUAUGGGACUCGGAUGCACACAUCUUUGCAGGACUUGCAGAUUUUCAUGUCUAAAGCUAUUGAAGUACUGCUUGGAAUACGCCAUGAGAAAAAUGACAAUAACCCUUCUCAGUUUGAGCCAGAACAGGUGAGAUCUAAAUAUGAUGUUCAGCCUGUCCAUAGAGCAAUCAUGGCCCGUGAAGGAACUAGACAAUCAGUGGUGUUUUUUAAUCCUUUGGAGCAGACAAGAGAAGAGGUUGUGAUGGUUAUUGUUAACCGUCCAGAUGUUACUGUUCUGGACUCAAACUCGACAUGUGUUCAAAGCCAAAUAUCUCCUGAGCUGCAGCAUGAUAAAAGCAAAAUAUUUACUGGAAGGCAUCGUGUCUACUGGCAGGUUUCUGUUCCCGCCUUGGGGUUGCAAACAUAUUACAUUGCUAACGGGUUGCAUGGAUGUGAAAAGGCCAAACCAGCAAAACUAAGAUUCUUCUCAAAGUCUAGUUCUUUAUCUUGCCCCACUCCAUAUGCAUGCUCAAAAGCAGAUGCUGAUGUGGCUGAAAUCCAGAACAGGCACCAAAUACUCACCUUUGAUGUGAAGCAUGGUCUGUUGCAGAAAGUCAGCUAUAAGAAUGGUUCCCCAAAUGUUGUGGGUGAAGAAAUAGAUAUGUACUCUAGUUGGGGAAGUGGAGCCUACCUAUUUAAACCCAACGGUGAUGCACAGGUUAUCAUCGAAGAAGGUGGGCAGUUGGUGAUCUCUGAGGGCCCUUUGGUGCAGGAAGUAUACUCUUAUCCAAGGACUGAAUGGGAAAAGAGCCCCAUUUCUCAUAGCACUCGUGUCUACAAUGGAGAGAAUACUGUACAGGAAUUUCUCAUCGAGAAGGAGUAUCAUGUUGAGCUUCUUGGUCAGGAGUUCGAUGACAAGGAGUUGAUAGUUAGAUAUAAAACAGAUGUUGAUAACAAAAGAAUAUUCUUUUCUGAUUUAAAUGGCUUUCAGAUGAGCCGGAGAGAAACCUAUGAUAAAAUCCCAGUUCAGGGCAAUUACUACCCUAUGCCUUCUCUUGCAUUCAUGCAGGGGUCUGCUGGUCAGCGGUUUUCAGUCCAUUCCCGGCAGUCUUUGGGUGUGGCAAGUCUUAAAAAUGGAUGGUUGGAGAUUAUGCUUGACCGUCGUUUGGUAAGAGAUGAUGGACGAGGUCUUGGACAAGGAGUGAUGGACAAUCGUGCAAUGAAUGUAAUCUUCCACAUCGUUGUGGAGUCUAACAUUUCAGCCACAUCAAACCCGGUUUCCAACCCAUUGCCCUUAAAUCCCUCGCUUCUUUCUCACUGCGUCAGUGCUCACUUGAACUAUCCGUUGCAUGCAUUCAUUGCCAAGAAGCCAGAGGAGUUGUCAGUGCAGCCACCCCCAAGGUCUUUCUCCCCCUUAGCCGCUCCCUUACCAUGUGAUCUGCAUAUUGUAAGUUUUAAGGUUCCCCAACCUCUAAAAUACUCUCAGCAACCUCUCGAAGAUUCUAGGUUUGCCCUAAUUUUACAGAGACAGAACUGGGACGCUUCAUAUUGUCGGAAGGGCAGAUCAGGGUGCACUAGAUUUGCUGAUGAGACUGUGAAUCUCUUUUACAUGUUCAAGGACCUUAAGGUAUUGAAUGCGAGAGUUACUUCCUUAAAUCUUUUACAUGAGGACAUGGAUAUGCUUGGGUAUACUGAGCAAUUUGGAGAUUUUGCUCAAGAUGGACACGUUCUUAUCUCUCCAAUGGAAAUACAGGCUUACAAGUUGGAAUUGCGGCCGCCCAAAUGAAUGUACUAGCAACUGGUUUCUUACUGUAUUCUCAUUGUUGCUUCUUCAGCAGGGUUUAUGGCUAAGAGCUAUGACGCAUCCUUAUCUCUCCCGUAGAAAUGCAGGCAUACAAGUUCAAGUUACUACCACACGGGCAAAGGUACUAGUGACUGAUUUCAUUACUGCAUUCUCAUGGACGCUUCGUCAAUGGGGUUAGUAGCAAAUCACAAUGGUUUCUCACAUCCCGCUAUCAGCCUGAUGAAAGUGGGAACCAUAUACAUGCUGCUACUUCAAUACAUGUUGCCAAGUCAGGGCAUAGACAACUAGUAGAGUAGCGAUACAGUCGAAGCAGUCAUCCACGGUUGCCCUUGCGAGCAAUUCGAUUGAUAGACUUGCCCUCGGGAUUCUUUUUGUUGUAAAACUGCUGCUGACAGUUAUGUAUGAGAUUAGGACUAGUAUUUGUGUUCAAAAUGAUAGUGAGGUAAGUGGUAAUGUUUGGAUUUUGUUUCAGCUAUGAUUUUGCUUGUAAUGUUUCGCAUCCAUGAUAUAGAGGGCUAAUUUGUUGUCUAAGUACAUCCAUCCAAGAGAUUUUUAGGUAUGAUCACCCGGGCCAAGUCACCUGUCCGUCCAAAGACAACAACUUUGGUUUGAGCACCAAGACACAGUGGUACGUAGGGCCGGAAUGUAUGGGUUGGUCUUGGGUGAGAUUUUGUGCAUGGAGGGAUGAGGCCGUUCAGAAGGCCAAACCCUAGAAUUUCUCUCGUCCAAGACACAAACAAGGAGGACCUCUUGUAUUUAGGACCGUCGACCCGAAUGCAAAGAGCUCUCUUCUUUGUGUCUUUGAGCGGGUGAGAAACUAUUGUACAAAAAAGGGAAAAUUAUGUGACAAGCAUCCAUUGUAACAAGCGCAAAACAUCUAUUGGACACUUGGCAAGAGAGUCUCUCCUCAAACAAGGAAGCAAAUUGUCCGCCUUUCUAUUAUGGUGCACUUCUCAUCCCCUUUUAUUUGUACGGUUACAGUUAAAUCACAUCAACAUUUUAUAUUAUUAUUGUUUUUUGUUUUAUUAUCUUUAUAAAAAUAUCAAUAUAAAAUUUUAACGUGGCUUAACCAUAACCACACAAAUAGGAGGGGAUGGAAAGGGCACCAUAACAGAAGGGCAGACAAUCUGCCUCCCUCAAACAAACUCGUGAUGUGACAAACAUCUAUUGAACGAUCAACUGGGCCAACUGGCUGGCUAUGCAUAUUAGGGAAGCCGGAUGAGGAUCCUGUUCGGAUCCUCUUUGUGAGAGUUAUGAGGAUUCUCAAAUUGUGUUAGUUUAUCGUACAUCGUACGAUCAAUUUUCUUCACAUGCUAUUCAUAUUUAAUUUUAAAUAAAAAUAUUUAAAAUAAUUUCUAACCAGACGAUGUAUGAUAAGCAGACACAAUUCGAAAAUUCUCAUAAUCCUUGCAAGGGAAGCCCAUAUCCAAAUCAAAGCCCACGUGCCUAAACAUUCCCUAAGAAACACAUACGCACGCUCAGAGCUGCUGAAGCCUGAAAGCGACUCUCUCUCCUCUCUCUUACAAAGAUAAGCGCUUUCUCUCAACUCAAGAAAUUUUGGUUCUCCGAUCAGAGACCGCCGCCGCGUCCUCUGUCACUCUCUCUCUUCCUCUCAGAGGUCAGUCGCUCCUCCGCCGUGUUCCUUGUUUAUAUUUCCGAUGUAAAAUCAGUUCAAUUUCUGGCACGAUAUUUUCAGAUCUAUCACACUUUAUUUCUAGAUCUUCCCUUACGGAGCUUCUGAAAUCAAAGUUUCUGGAAUUUUUAUAUUUCGGCUGCAAUUAAUCUGAAAUUAUGAUUGAUUUCGUUUUAUUGGUAUGAACAUUUAAAUUAAAUUAUGGGUUUUUAUAGCGAAUUAUUUUUGUUCUCCUGUGAUCUGUUAGAUCUUCAACCUGCUGUAAGAGGAAUUUCUCGCAAAAUAAUAUUUUUAUUGUGAAUUUGUUUACUUCAAUUUCUCGUUGUUUGUGAUAUAAUUUGCCUAUAGAAAUUAUCUGAAUUGCAAUAAUUUGGGAAUUUAGUUAUUGAAUAUUAGACUUGAAUUUUGAUGUGAAGAACAUUGUACUCCAGAGGAAGCAGAGACAAAUUUAGGAAAUUGAAGGAAAGGUGAUUUGGGGAAAUUUUCGGCACGAGAAUAUAAAUUGGUAACGAUGCCUGCACAGAAGAUCGAAACGGGUCACCAGGACACUGUCCACGAUGUAGCCAUGGAUUACUACGGAAAGCGUCUAGCAACAGCUUCGUCUGAUGCCACCAUUAAGAUAAUUGGUGUUGGAAACGCAUCACAGCACCUAGCUACAUUGUCAGCUCAUAGCGGCCCUGUUUGGGAGGUAGCUUGGGCGCAUCCCAAGUUCGGGUCGAUCCUUGCUUCCUGUUCUUACGAUGGUCAGGUGAUCAUCUGGAAGGAGGGUAAUCCGAAUGAGUGGCAACAGGCUCAUGUUUUUAAUGACCACAAGUCGUCAGUAAAUUCCAUUUCUUGGGCGCCUCAUGAACUUGGUCUAAUCUUAGCUUGCGGUUCUUCUGAUGGGAAUAUAUCGGUUUUCACUGCCAGGGCCGAUGGUGGUUGGGACACCACUAAGAUAGAUCAAGCCCACCCUGUUGGAGUAACCUCAGUUUCAUGGGCCCCAGCAAUGGCUCCUGGCGCUCUAGUAGGAUCUGGUCUGCUUGAUCCCGUUCAUAAGCUGGCAUCCGGUGGGUGCGAUAAUACUGUGAAGGUGUGGAAGCUGUACAAUGGGAUUUGGAAGAUGGAUUGCUUCCCCGCCCUUCAAAUGCACAGUGAUUGGGUGAGAGAUGUAGCCUGGGCACCCAACUUGGGACUGCCAAAGUCCACAAUCGCAAGUGCUUCGCAGGAUGGAACAGUGGUGAUUUGGAUUGUGGCUAAGGAAGGCGAGCAAUGGGAAGGGAAGGUUUUGAAGGAUUUCAAGACCCCGGUCUGGAGGGUGUCAUGGUCACUAACCGGAAAUUUGCUGGCGGUAGCUGAUGGGGAUAACAAUGUAACAUUGUGGAAAGAAUCUGUCGAUGGCGAGUGGCAACAAGUAAGCACAGUCGAGCCAUAGGUUUUGUGAUCACCACUACUUCCAAUUACUGUCGUAACGGUAUUUUUCAUCAACUAGAUUGAUAGCGUCUUAGAACAGAAUUAUGUCGGUUUUAUUUUCAAUACUUUGCCUGUAACAGUUAGUGCUUUAUCGAAUUGGUUUUUUGCUUAUUGUGGGAUGAAGAUUCAGGUUUCGUGUUGUAAUCAGUUGGAGUUGUUCGAUCGUAUGUGUUUUCACUGGUGAAACGGUAAGGGGUGUGCUGUCCACAAACCUUUUUUUACUUCUUACACAUCCUUGUUAAUUUUUUUCCAUUGAUUUUUUUUCAAUUUAUCUAAUCCGGCUGCUGAAAAUUUAGAAGAUUGUGUGAGAAGUAAACAGAGGUGUGUAGAUAUCACACCCCAAUGGUAAUAGUCAUAAGUUACUACUCGUUGGUUUUCACUUGGAGAAAAUGCUCAAGUUAUGACCAAACUAUGAUAUCUUUGCCAAUGUUGCAUACCUGCGUGGCAAGAUUUUUGUUAGUCGGGGAAUUCAAAAAUGACGCGUGAUUGGAACGGGAGAAUGAAUCGAGAUCCUCUCCGGAUCAGGAGCCGACGGAUCAAGUAAUUCGGAUAAUUUAUUUCAAAUCGUACGGCUUUAUUAGGAUGAAGCCAAUGGAUCAAGUAAUUCGGAUCAUUCAUCUCAAAUUGUACGGCCUUCAUUACUCCAUCUUACUGACUUAUUUCACAAAAACCAAGAGUACCCUCCUCCUCUUUUGAACGGUUUAAAUCGAAUUACGUGGUCUGUCAGCUCACAAAAACCAAGAGUACAAAUCUCCCUCUUCCUCUUUUGAACGGUUCAAAUCGAAUUACGUGGUCUGUCAGCUCACAGAAACCAAAAGUACAAAUCUCCCUCUUUCUCUUUUGGACGGUUCAAAUCGAAUUACGUAGUCUGUCAGCCCAUAGAAACCAAAAGUACGAAUCUCCCUCUUCCUCUUUUGAACGGUUCGAAUCGAUUUACGUGAUCUGUCAGCUCAUGAUCUCAAUUACAAAGAAGAAAAAGAGAACAAAGUAUAGCAACCAAGUUCUUUUUAUCCUCUACUUUAGCUAAUUAGAUACGUGGUCCAAUUGCAAAUUGCCAACUCACUCGAUUACAAUAAUUGCAAUAGUAAUUAAAUUUUAUUUUAUUAGAAAUUGAUUCACAAAAAUCCCACAACAAACUUGUACUCGCUUUCGCAGUAGGUACUUGUCUAAAUAUUAAUCUCCUCGUUUGGUCCACCAGUGGUGAAUCUGUAAUUUCCUCAAAAACCCAGGUCAAUCUCAUCAGCCAAUCAAAAUUGAACGGGCAGAUAUAAAGAUUGAAGAUUCCAGGAGGCGCAAGCCACAGAGAGUGAGAGAGGCGGAGAGCUUCCAGCAAAUAGCCAGCUCGUUCAUGGCGGCGCCAGCUCGCGCCUUCGUUUUCUCCCGCGUCGCCGACCUCUCUCUCAAGCCAUCCCAACCGCCGCCACCGAUUUCCCGCCACCUCCUCGUCCGCCCCUUACUCCCCUCCUCCUUUCCGCGGCGACGUGUAUCCGCCGGUUCAACUUCUUCUGUCCGAUGCCUCAUCUCCGGCGUCGACGGCGGCGGCGUGUCGGACGAGUUCGUCUCGACUCGGAAGUCCGGGUUCGACCGCGGGUUCUCCGUGAUUUCGAACAUGCUCAAGAAAAUUGAGCCACUCGACACCUCCGUUAUCUCCAAGGGCGUUUCGGAUUCCGCCAGGGACUCCAUGAAGCAGACCAUUUCUACUAUGCUGGGGUUGCUCCCGUCCGAACAGUUCUCCGUCACCGUUAGGGUUUGCAAAGCCCCUCUCCACCGCCUCCUCGCAUCCUCCAUAAUCACCGGGUAAUAAUUCACAUUUUUAUCCCCUUUCUUCAAAUUUCAGUAAUUUCAGUGCGUAAUUGUAUUAAUUAGAGUAAAAUUGCUUUGGGAUUUAUUGUAUCAAUUAGAUAUACACUGUGGAACGCGGAGUAUCGGAUAUCGUUGAUGAGGAAUUUCGACAUAUCCACGGAGAAUUCUGUGCCGUUGGAUCGGUCGGAGAUGGAUGGGGUGUCGGAUAGGGUGGAAAGCGAGGAAAGGGAUGGUGGAAAUGGUAUCGGGGUGAGUAGCGAACUCUUGGAUUCAGCAACUCCUCAGGUUUUCGGCGAUUUGCCUCCGGAGGCUUUGAAUUAUAUCCAGACGUUGCAAUCAGAGCUGACAAAUGUGAAGGAGGUGAGCAUUUGCUCUCUGAAUUUUCUGUCCUUUUCAUUUCCACAAUUACUAGUGCUUUUCUUCGAAUUGAGCCUAAAAUAGUCGAAAAUUCUAGUUUGGACUGCUUUUUUUAAGUUUUGAAAGCAAGAUCAAAGCUCCUUUUUGUUUGGUUUAUGAUCUUCCAAGUUUUAGGUUCUGAACGUUUUUAUAUUCGUUGUAUGUGUCUUGUAUCAAUCUUAUAUACGAAGGUGGCAAAUCAACCCAUUCGGUUGUCAAUAGGUAACCAUUAAGACCCGUUUAGUUUGAUUUCACCGUAAUAAGGUGGUGAGAUUGGUGGUGGUAAGAAUGGUAGUGGUGAUGAUGGUGUAAUACCUUAUUAUGUUGAAAUCAAACUAAACAGGUCUUAAUGGUUACCCAUUAACAACCCAAUGGGUUGAUUUGCCACCUCUAGGUAACGAUGCUCAAGUUUUGUGUUUUUGAGCUUAAUUUGAUAUUGAAGUUAAAUGCUUGAAGGAUUGUGCAUUGUUUUAAGCAGAAUGUGGGAAUGACAUGCUUUGCUUUUUUCAGGAACUGAAGGCGGAAAAGCAGGAAAAUAUGCAACUAGAAUAUGAUAGAGGACCUAGGAAUGAUUUAUUGGAGUAUCUACGGUCUCUAGAUUCUAAUAUGGUAAUAAUCUUACUUUGCGAUGGGGUUGCAAUUUUUAUGAGUCCAUCCUUUCUUAUGAUGCUACCAUCAUUUGUUUUAACAGGUAACUGAACUAUCUCGACCGUCAUCAUUAGAGGUGCAGGAAAUUAUACACCAGCUUAUUCAAAAUAUAUUGCAGAGAUUCUUCAAAGAUGGUACUUCCUCAGAAUUUGUUGAGGAUUUGGAGACAGGGGACAAAGAGAUUAGCCUAGAUGCUGAUGGCGAACUUGAGACCAUAGGAACUUCACGAGAUUACCUAGCGAAACUGCUUUUCUGGUUAGACUCCUGUCAUAGUCCUCCUUAAAUGGCUUGUUUUUAUUGCUUGUCCAAAUUUGCUUUGCAUGAAGUCACUUCUGGGAAUAGUCCGCGUUCACAUAGUUUAUACGUAUAGUCGUAGGCGCAAAUAAAUGCUCCAGAUUUCUGAGAUAUCGUACUAGUUGAACCGAUUCCAUUAACGAUUGAAAUUUGAAAGUUCACAUUUCGUUUGGCAGGUGUAUGUUGUUAGGUCAUCAUUUAAGAGGCUUGGAGAACCGAUUACAUUUGAGUUGCGUUGUUGGAUUAUUGUGAAGAGGGGAAAGUGCGAAGCGUGUACAUUCUUCAUGUUCAUCUAUGUCAACCUUGUUUGUUUUACUAGUUCAUCUGUAUCAUUCUUCUUCUUCGAAAUGAAAGCGUUUUACGGAAUACCGCAAUAAUUUUCGCUUGUUCUUCUGACCUCUUGCAUCUUGAUCUACAUAACUUAACCUAUCAAAGAUUUGGAAAGACGAUCUAAAUAAGAUCAAAACCGAGCACAUUGACGGUCUGGGCAUAUGUUGAUCGUACAACGCACCAGAAGACCACCUUGAGAAAAGAAAAAAAUGACUGAAUUUGGCAAAACGGAACGAUAUGUUCCAAAAUUUUCAUUCAGUUCAAAUCUCUCCCUCUAUUUACAUCUGGUAAAAAUAAUAUUUCCUCCUAUGUAUCAACGAAUUUAUGUAAAAAAUAAAUAAAUAAAUAAAUAAUCCUGUGCCUAAUUAAUGCUACAACAUAAAAAAUUGUUGAUGUGUUUGUUGAAGAAGAUGCAGAUCUUGAAGGUGACUUUGAUGGUGUUUGUAGAGAUCGUAAGGGGCCCAGAGAAGAUCGACAGGGCAAGGCAUUCCCAAAUCCAGCCGCGUCCAUGGCUUCCCUCCGCCGCUCCAAUGCAGCAAACUCACCGGACCCGGAUGCAGAGGCCUGCAACUGUUCAUCAAAUUAUCGCCGCCGAGGCCGUGCUGGUUCCACCGGUGGUGAAUCGCCUCCACGUCGCCGCCGAACACCAGCAAAAACGGCGGAAGAGAACCCAGCUCGUAAAUCCUCUUCUCCUUCUGAAUCUCCAUCCAGUUCUCGAUCUUUCUCGUAAACCCUCCGGCUCUCCAUCUCACCAAGUCGAUGACCAUCACGCCGGUGUUGAAAUAGCACGGGGUUUUUUUAUCGAACGCCUUGGGGAGCUCGGAAUCGCUCCAGAACUCGUCGGAGAAAUACUUGGUGAAAUUGGCGUGGCAGUACUCCGGAGCUCCGAUCACUCUCGACCCGGAUAAGGAAAUCCCCCAUAACUUCUGGAUGUCAUCGACAACAACGACAUCGGAGUCGAGAUAUAUCACUCGCUCAACGCAGGGGUCGAGCAAAUCAGCCAAGUAGCUCCUCGCGUAGUUCAAUGGGUUCUCCAGAGCUGGGCGAAUCGAAGGAGAGAUCAGAUGGUUCACCUGACUCUCUCUGAAGAUAUAAACUCGGAAAUUAAGCGCCGGAAAAGUUGACGUCAGAAUGCGAGAGAGGCGGUGAGAAUCAACCGAGCCGGAAUCCGAGGCGACGAAGUGGAAGAAUAUGUUCUCCGGGCAGGAGGCUUGCUUGAAAACAGAGUGCACGGCGGCAAUGGUGCCGCGCAAGUACUCGGAAUCGAUGGUCAUUGCGACGUGGACGAGGGAGGAAUCGCAGACGUCGUUUGCUGCACCCGGAAGAACAGGGCAGCUGAUUCCGUUUGUGUAUUUGGGAGCUUCUGAGAAAUCCAUGUGGAAUCGUUUUUCAUUUCCCGGUUGGGUUUGCGAGUCCGGGAACGAUCGGAUUGCGUUUGCGGGAAUGGGGACGGCGGAGAGGAGGAGGAGGAGGAGGAGGAGAGCAAUGGGUUUAAGGAGAAGCAUCGUCGGCGAUGGAGGAGGGGAAUGGAAAUGGAGAGGAGGAGGAGAGGAAGGAGUAUAUGUAAGUGAAAUGGUCAAAGAAAAAGCAGAGAGAGAGAGUAAACGUCUUUUUUGUGUUAACAGAAAAACGCGUCUGAAUAUUAUUUGGUUGCUUAAAUUGUAAUAAUUAGUUGGGACCAAAAUAUUAAAAUUGCACCAACAGUCCCCGUAGCUUAUUCGGGUUUUCAUUUUUGUUCCGAUAUAGUUUGUUUUUCUUUCGUGUUAAUCCCUGUAGGUUCGUUUCGAUAGUAUCGUUUCAAUCUGGCAAUGAGGCUGAAUUUUUUUUUUUAAGUUUUAUAAAUACAACUUCACUUGGGAAUCCUAUACCGAUUAUUAAUCAGACGCAAGCCUCAACUCGGGUGGAUUUGUUCUUUUGUUUCUCAGUUACAGGGUACUGAAAGUUGUUUUUCGGUUGUUUUCCUUGCAGGCUUUUACGAGUUAUGCUUAUGUAGGGAAGGAGUUAUGCUCAUAAAAAGCACUUUUAGUGUUUGUAUAAGCAAUCACAAACAUGUUUAAAGUAAAAAUCAAAACAAACUUAUUUGGAUGAAAGUGCAAAAAAAUAAAUUGUAGAGAAGAAAGUGAAAUUUCUGGAAAACUGAGAGGACAGUUAUACAAUAUAACACAUUUGGUUUGGUGCAGAGGAAUUUUCCAUUAGCUUUCGGGUUGUUUGAAUAUUAUUUUAGUAUUGGAUAAUAAAUAAAAAAUAUAUUAUUUUAAUAUGCUUUUCCACUGGAGGUUCUGUCCAGCGUAGGAAGCCAUGUGGCCAUGUGCUUUGAACAGCUUGGAAUAUCAUUAUUGCACUUAUUGUUAAUCAUUGGCAAGUGACCACAUGCCAUGAAUGAGAAUUGAGGUUUAAUACGGAUUUUUGUGUCAGAAGUCUAAAGAUUAAGAGAUUGUUUAGAGAGAGAAAGAGAUUCAAAUAGUUAAGUUUUUGAAUUUUUGCGAAGUGGGUCAGUGAGAUGAGCUAAUGGGGUUGUUGGAUUGAAGUUGACUAGUUCAGAUCUCUCGAUUUACGGACUCAAAAUACAGAAAUCCAGAAUGAAACUCAAUGCCAAGAAAGUACCUUAUUUUAACCAAAAAUGAUUAUAUUUAUUUUACUUGUGGUACCAAAUUUAAAAAAAAAAAAACCAUUUAUCUUGGACUAAAACACAAUUGCUGUUUUUACCUUUCAAGUUUCAAACAUAGUAUCCUUUUAAAACGAAAAAGUAACAGAAAAUCUCAAAAAGAUAUAAAAUACUUAGAGCUAACGGUGCUGGAAUAUCGCAAUUUUCAUCAAAAGGAAAAUUUGAUACAAAACCAAGCGCCUAAGCAUUUUAGAAUUCAUACAACCGAUCCUACUUAGUGAAAUAAGGUUUGAUUGUUAUUUUUUUAAGUUAUAAGUUGAUCGAUUAUCAUGGAUGACGAUGUUCCCCUUGUUACUAUAAUUUUUUCGAGAGCAAGUAGUCAAGUUUAUACAUACAUUCUACAAAGUAUCUAAGAUGGCCUAGAAGAUAAAUGUGACUUGGGUUUACUGGUCACACAAGUUAUCCGAGGUUUUCAAAAUCUUAAAGCGACAUGGGGACUAAAUUGUAGCAGGUUUUUGGAAGCCAACUAGUCAAUGGCCAUUCCCCUUGGGAGGCGCAGAUUUGACAACAAAUAGUUGACCACCUUUGAUUUUUUCAUCGCGUCAACAGUUAACGGAAAACAUAACGAAAAGACAAACGGAAAUAUGCUAAGUGACAGAAAAAUUAAACGUUUAAGUAUAAAAACGAGACGCAAGAAAAUAAGUAUAGAAAAGUACAAUUUUUGAAAAUUUUGAGAAUAAUAAAAUUGGAAUUUAAAAAAUAAAAGUUAACCAACAUGGCUUCCAAAUGUUAAGAGUUCACGUGGACAGAUGAGUCUUGUAGGAGAAGGCGGCAACCAACUGGCUGGCUGUCGUCACCACAAAGCCGUAGCUCCACAAUUCCAUCUGGCAGUUUCACAUUAGAUUUGAAGAAUUCAAGCGAAUUUAGACACCCAAAAAUCGGAAAUUCCAGAAUGUAACCGUUGGAUCCUUAUCUAACAAUUCAACGGCUAUAGAUUUCGAGGCAUGCUAUGAGUCGGUUCAUACUAGACAAACACGACAAUUUUAUCUCAUACAAGAGUGAAACUUCGAUGCGACAAUAACAGUAUCUCAAGACAAUCGUAUCUGGUACAUGACACUGCAUGAUUGGUUGAGAAUACUGCCAUUGAGGCAUCCCGAGAUGACAGGGACUGACCGCAAGAAGUGUCGUCUAAGAGAGAUCUCUCGGGAACAUUCCAUUGUGUUAUUGAUCCAGAACGCCAGUGACAUCCCCAUAGGUAAAAGAACGUGGAUAUACUUAAAUUUCUUAUUUGGAAAGUUUGUACCACCCCCAACUAUUCACAUAACUGCAUCAGUUUCCUACACCAACAUAUUCUAAACAUUAUACAGGAAUUGGACUCACCAAAGUUCCAAUUCCGAUACCAGGCCGCUUCCCGCCUCAAUCAGAACUCAAAUUUUCGUUAACGAUAUAUAAAGUUUGACGGACUUGACUCAGCGCAAACAGAGAGGCGAUAAACAAAAAGUUCACGAUAUAGAAACUCACUUUCUAGGAUUUUGUACUCACACUGCAAGAUCAAGCCACUCUAAAAGUUGUAGCUCCUCUGUUGAUGCUCAUUGCUCCGUUUCCAUGAUCGUACUGCUUCCUGCAGCCUGGACAGCGCCCGUCUGCCUCUAGAAUCCUUUUGUGGCAAAAGAGGCAAAGGCGAAAGCCGCAUGAACACGGAAUAAAGCUCGAGUCUGUGACAUCUAAAUCCUCAUAGCAUAUAGGACAUGAAGAAGGCUGGGGCACGAUGUUUUGCCAUGCCCAUGCAAUGGUUCCAUGGCCACAAUGCCAGUCUGAUUGCACCAUGAAACUAUGCUGUUUUGGCACAUUGGGCAGACUCUGAGGACGGGAAGCAUCAUCAGGUCUCCAAGCACAACGCGCCGUAUGUGACCCAGGAACCAUGUUUCUAUCCUCUGGAUUUGAUAAUUCAACUCCAGGAUUCUCGCUAGAUAGUUUAAACUGUGGGUUCAACUGUGAUUUCCGCUUUGGAAGGAAAAUCAGUAAGAGGGGUAUGCUUGUUGUCCUCUGCAUUUAAAGCAUCGGCCACAGCCUCCCAGUCAUCUAGACACCCAUCAUCAGCAUCCUCCUUGCUGACAGUUCCCGAACAAUUUCUUCCACUGCUCUCACUAAGAUUCUUCAUCGAAUCAUUACAAUCCAAACUGCUUCCACUCGGACUGGUUGUCAGAGACUCCAAAUCGCUGUCAUGGAUGCUCGAAUUGUCAUUCUCUCCUCCGGUUGAAUUCGUUUCCAAAUUGUCCAAUGAUCCAUUUUGCCCUUUCUCUACUUGCCUAGAUGGUGUAGGAGACCCACCCCUCCCAUCCAAGUUCACUUUGUGCCCUUUAUUCUUGACUGCAUUGCACACGAAGUUUAUUAGGAUCAAAUGUAUAUAAGAAAAUUUUGAUAACUACUAAAAAUCUCUAACUUGUUCCACAAAAGCCGUUAAUGUAAAACUUCGUUGUCUUUUGUGGGGGUGGGGAGAAGAAAAAUCAGGUCAUCAAUGUCAGGGAAAACGUCAGGUGCCACAUCAAAGUCAGUUGUGCAAGACGCACAUUAAAAAAAAAAAACAAUUCAAAAGCGAAGCCACUCGUCAGUCUUUCCUGAAUCGAUGAGAUCAAAACUUCUAGAAAAAGCUCGGCGUCUUGAUUUGGUUCAUAGAACUACCUAAGGCAUGAAAAAGACUUUUCCCUAUAUCCAUUGAUCAUGUCAUUGAUCGAGUAAUGACGACCGAUGGCAGCGAACUCUUGACAAAGAAACCAGCUUUACUUCAAAAUUGUGGGUAAGAACAUGUAUGACACCUUAGAUAAAGGUCCUUUUUAUUUUUCUAAAUUUUUAACGAACGUCAUUGUGCUCACCCGAUGCCUAAGUCUACAUUUCGCAAACACCAAGUUCUGCAUCCAAAUACAAACAUUGUCCGAUGCCCAAGUUUCGAUCUUCAUACCUCCACUAAGCAUAUUAGCUUCCAUUGUUUUAUUUGUUGGACAUACUAGCUUCAUUGGCAAUCCAAAAAAGUAAAAUUUUUUCUGUUCGUAUUGAAAAUUCAUAAUUCAAAAAAAAAAUUAAAAAAAAAAAUCGAGAGAGAAGGAAGCAAUACCAUGUGAAAGCCAUUGCUCGCGGCGAACAUCGAGCUUGCUCUGCUUCAAUUUCGCCAACCUGUUCGUCUGAGAAAAACAAUUACAAGUAAGAACAAGCUCACAAUUCACAACAUCACAAAAAUUCAACUUCAAUUCCGCCCAAAAACCAAAAUUGAAAUCGAAUUUCACGAAUGCACCAAUAACCCUCGGUCGAAAUUGAAACUUUUCAUAUUCAAAUUUCCCUCCAUUUCCAAGCUCACACCGACGCAUGCACGAAAGAGAAAAGACAGAGAGCGGAGGAGAAUGGAUGACAUAGCGAGCGAGCUUACCCUCUUCUUCUUGGCCAAGUCUUUGGUGACGACAGGAGAGCAGGAGAUUGAACCCGAACUCAUUGAAAUCGGAAUGAAAAUUCGAUUCACAAAAACCCUAGCUCUGAAAACCCCACAGGACUGAUUCGGAAAUGGAAGAGAAAAAUGAGAAGAUAGAAACUGGGAAAUAUAGAUAGAUAAAUAUAUAUAUAUAUAUAUAUAUAUAUAUAUAGAGAGAGAGAGAGAGAGAGAGAGAGAGAGAGGGGGGGGGGGGGUGGAUAGGGAGGGAGUGGAUAUUACGAAAUCUUUUGGCUCUCUGCGUUCCUUCCUCGCCUCUCUUCUCUCUUUCUUUUAUUAACUGAUUUUUUCUACCACUCCGACAGCCAUACACUUUUUCUGCCUGCCGGUUUUAUGUAUUUCUUCGAUUCCGAAACUACCCUCGAGAUCCACCUUUAUUUACUUGUGUACGCUUUUCAUUUCCAUUUUUAAAACAUUCGUUGAAAGAAAAAAGCAUUCAUAUCGAUAAGCUAAAAUGCAAGUGGCCCCUUACCGCAGUGGUGAAAAGGUGUUGAACCCUUGCAUUAUGGCGUGGGUUCAAACCCCGUUGAUGACUAAUCUAACAUCUAAUUUAACAAAUUUAUCGUUUGACCAAAAAAAAAAAAAAAGCUGAAAAUAGAAAAGGGAUAAAUGAAAAAUACAAUUUGGUUUUUAUUUUUUGUUUUAGGGAUAAAAGGAUUUCGAUUAAACUACAUAAUUAGAAAUCAAACUUGUCAUUUAACGAUUCAAACAUGAGACCUCUUUAUUUACGCAUAAAAAGAAACAUCAGCAUUGUCCAACGAAUUUAAUAUCUUAUUACGAUUUUGCCUCCUGGACUUUCAAUUGCGUCUUUUAAGAGCACAUCAAUUACGUCCAAAUUGGCUGCAAUGCAAUCACCGUCUGACGAUUAAGAUGAUGUUUGUUUAAAUAUCAACAAUACGAGAAAAUAACUAAUUGUUGAUAUUUAAACGAGCCAAGGGCAUUUCAGUAAUUAACGGGUGCAGGUUCUUGUUACUGCUGGCGGAGCUCAAGCCACAAGUGGCGCGAGCAAGUCAACAUGCAGAAAGUGGAUCCCUAAACGAGGAGUCCGUUGCACUUCCACGUACGAGAACCACGUGACGGCGCAUUAUCCAUUAUCUAUGGUUACCGGAUUCAACCCGCUCCGGCCCACUUUCCACCCGAAUUGGAUCUUAAGUUCGGAGCCCAAGGAUCAAAUCAUCUGAACCGUUGAUUGGUGUGUAAAAGAAAUCAGAGCUAUUGGUUUUGUGUGGUAGGCUAGAAAAAUGAGUUAAUAGAACCGUUUGAUUGAAUUUGUGCGGUCCAGAUGAAUUAAUUUCUAGGCUCCGGAUCCAAUUCCAUCUCACGCUAAUCCAGUUCUCUGGGCCCACCCCGUUGGAAGAGGAUCCUCUCCUAAGCUCAGAUUGGGGAUCCUCCUGACCAACCCAUCUAGGCCGUUCAAAGUUAAUUCAACGACUACAAACAGAAGGUCUUCUAAAAGUUAUAAUAAUUGCAACCGCUGGAUUAAAUUUGAACAGCCCAGAUGAACUGGUCAGGAGGAUCCCCAUCCUAAGCUCAGGAGAGGAUCCUCUUCCCGCCCCGUUCUAGCUUUGUUACCCAGAUUCAGCAUUUACUUCCUUUCUGGUCUUGAAUCUGAAUUUUUUUCAUCUGUUUUCCGCACAUAAAGAAAAUGAUUUCCGCACAUUACUUUUCUCCUUCUUCCACACCCCGUUUAUUUCCGUCCCGAUGUAACUGAGUCCGAAAACAAAAUGGGCGCCAUUGUAUAGUUUCGGUGAUAGCCAACUCAAAAAUCUUUCGGUAAGAACAGCAUAUAUAACACAGAUGCAUCGAAAAAGGUAAAGAAUCUGUUCUAUGAAACAUAAUCUUAUGGUGGAAAAGAAUACUGAUGCAGUAAUGCCUGCAAAAUGCUGGUACGAAACCACAAAUUUGUAGUUAAAAAGCUCGGGAUUUGUUAAAACUCGCGUGCUUUUUCUGCUAUUUGAUCAAUUUGUUACACUUACACAGUGUGCUUAUGGAAGUGGGGAAGAAAAUAUCCUAACUAUGACAAAGAUCAAGAACUAUAACUUAAAUACCUUUCUACGAAAUUAUCAUACACCAACCUUAUAUACACAACAAUGGCUCGGAGGCCAAUCUUCUGAACCAGACAUGCUCUACGUGUCCAGGCCCGCCAUCAUCCUUCACCAGUCUCAGAAAUCGAGUAGAUGACUCCUGUUCAAGAAAGCUUGGGUUUACAGUCGUUCGCAAAACUUGUAUGGCAGUGGAAGAUACGAAAAAAGGGUAUAUGUUUUCGAAAUGUUUAUCAUGUCUACCUUUAGCUUCCCAAUGUCAAACGAAUUUCCUUCUAAGCUAUGAUGAGAUUGAUAAGAAUUUGUGGAAUCGCUGUACUCUCGUCUGAUCAGAAUAUGGUGAUCUGGCCUCAGAUGUCCUUUUCCUUCUCACACGGAAGAAGUAAUCUUCUGUGUCAAGAACGUAAGAGAUCUGCCACAUGAUACUCUGAUGAAUAAAACUCCGUGCACAAAAAAUGCAUAAGUGUGUGUGCGCGUGCGCACGUGUGGCUAUUAUUUCUCCAGCUUCCAGCUGUGCUUAUAUUGUAAAGAAGGUAAAACUGAUGGUGAUGGUGAAGAUAAGAAAUACAUACGAGGGCAAGAUACCUUGGAUGAGUUGCAAGCUAUCUUGCACUCCAAACCAUUGACUAACUGAACACCGUCCAUGGCCUUGCAAAAGGAAGAGGAUUCAUCUUGCCCUGCAUAUUUGCGCUUGUUUCUGCAAAACGGAUUGAAUCAGUCAGUUAUCCAUUAACUAACAAAAACACUAGAAACUUUUGGCUCAUUCUAUAUACCGCAAGGCAACCUGAGUUGCUGUAUAUGACUAAUUAUUAACAUAUCAUAACACUGUGAGAGGAUUUACAUAUAAUUUUUCCUGCCAAAAAACACGGGAAGAAACUAAAUCCAUCGGAUGGCACCGUAUUUCAGUGUCUAUCGUGUUCCUUCAGAGAAGUAUAGCAAUUCUAGCACUUUUAACAUUAAUGAAGAGUGCAUUAUCACCUCUGAAGGGUAAUCCCAUGCGGCUCCUUUUUCCCAGGAUAAACCGGCAGAAAUUCAUUGUGCAGAUAGGAUGCAAAAUUAGGUUCCAUGGAAACUGCAAACACCUCAGGCUUUUCACUCACACUGUCCAUCAGCUGGAUGGACAGCCGGGAGGGUGAAGAGGACUGCACAAAGAAAAUUAAAAAUAAGUAAAUCACAAAAUAAGAAAAUAUAUUCAAAAGGGUAGGUUUUAGUCUAAUACACGGGCAAUUGUCAAAGAACUUACAAAUUCCAAUCUGUAAAUAUUCUCCUCAUGAAUGAGGACCCGUGCAUUUUCAUGAUAAACAGAAUCAAUUAACUUCCCAGUUUUCCGGGACUUUUCAUAUUCAUAUAAUUGAAGAAGCUUAUUGUCCGUCUCAUCACUUGCAACAGUUUGAAGCUGCAUAAAUAACCACUGAUCAGAACCUUGGCAGCAAAAGAAAACACACAGAAAUUUUUUUUAUUUUUUUAUUUUUUAUUUUUGAGUCAAAGUACAAAAUUUCUAGUGAGCAAACCUGUUUGACGAAUUUAUAUAUUAAUUUGUCCAAGGUGAAUAAUAUAUAAGACUGGUUUCCAAUAAUAGCUCGGCAUUCAUCCUCAAAUUUUGCAUUAUCAACAGAUCCAUCAAGCAAAUUGUAUAGAGCACUCAUAAAUCUGCAUAAUAGAUGAAUAAACUGUAUGAUUAAAAUUGCUUUGAACAGUUGCGACAGUUCUAAUCUAUUAUCUAUACAAAAGAGAGGCCUGAAAAAUACCUGGCAUACAGAUCCGGAGAACUGCCAUCCUUUGAAGUUCUCCAUUUCAUUUCUGCACCUGUGGAACUUGUUUUUGCAGACAAAAUCCUUUCGUAUAGAAUCUGCAAAUCAAAUAAGUCAAGCUUAUAUCCAGUUGUAAAUAAAAGACAAACUAACUUCCAAAAAUGAAAGAAAAUGUCUCUUACUUGAUGAAGCCUGCAAAGCACAUAGAAAUUAUCAUUCCCAUAGAAAACGCGAGAGUCUUUCCUUUCUUCAAGUAAAUAACCUGGUACAUGCUUCGCAAGAGGUUUCACAGACAAAAGAAAACGUUCUGACAAUUGCGAGGACGUUCCAUCUCCUCCAACAAGAUGCCCAUCCGCCAUCCCUUCUGCCUCACCUUCACUCUCAGCCUUACCAUCAAUGUCAUCCGGUUCAGCGUCUUCAUCAUCGCCUUGCUCUUCUCUGGAACAUUCAUCACCAGCUGUCUCACUGCCAGAGACAUCUUCACCAGCCUCGGAAACAUUUUCACUAUUUUCAUCAUCUGCAUCUGCAUCAUUUUCUCCAGCUUCCUGACAACUAAUGUCUUCCCCAUUCCCAGACUGAAACGGUCGGCUUUCAACACUGCGGUUUGCCUUAGGCAUAGCUUGCACCCCAGCAUCUCCAGAGACAACAAAGUUAUCCUCCCCAAAGUCAGCAAUUGGUGAUAAUUCCCCCUCUUCCUUUUCAAUUUUGGAGGGCCCAACAGACUCUUCAUGACGACUGCUAACUUUAGUGCUUUCUGGAAACACUCCAUUAGCAAUUAAAGCAGGUUUUGCAUUAUCGACACCCUGAAGCACCAAACAGUAAAUCAGUACGCAUUGCCAAAACCAUAAGGUCGUACCCAGUGCACAAGGCUCCCGCUUUACGCAGGGUCUGGGAGAGGUGAAUGUCGGCUAACCUUACCCCCAUUUAUGGAGAGGCUGCUCCCAAGUCUCGAACCCGAGACCUACCGCUUAUGGGCGAAGGCACUUGCCAUCGCACCAAGUGCCAAAACCAUAAGGUGAAAUAAAUAAAUUAAAAACCAAAGCCAUCACAAAUGACGAUAUUCCAGGAUCCAGACUCAUACCUCUGACAACGGAACAGCAUCAGCAUUUCCCUUCUGUAAAUGGUCAUUGUCACUAAUAGAAGCACCAGGCCUUGACGUGGUUGCAGCACACCCUUCAAUUGAAAAAAUUUCACAGUAUUCUAGCAUUAUUAUAACUCUAGAAAGUAAAAUAAAUUAUAACAUAUCGAAUAAGAUGCCAUUACAAUAAAAAAAAUCAAAUUCAUAAAAACAGACCUGAUAACACUUCCAAGCUCGUUCUACCAUGAUUAUUAUCUGCUCCAAUUGGAUGUGAUGGUUGACUGGACGGCCAAGCAUUGUCCAUGCCGGUGCCCAGAUACCUUUUCUUAGGGACAUCCAUAUUCUUCUGGUCUUUUUCUAGUUGAAUUUUCUCAGAUAUAGAAUCUUUCCUACAGACAAGAUCUGCAUCACGACUUCCAUCUUCUUUAGCCGAGUUAUCCCCGUUAGCCAAACUUUCCACUUCUGCUAAAGCAUUUUCUUCUUCAUUACACACAGAUUUGGGCUGCUUAAAAUUCACUGUGGCAGAAUCACCACCAGGACUUCCAUCGCUUUCUCCCAUGCUUGACGCAGUACAAUUCUUAGCCUGAUUCCUACUUUUGUCAACAUCUUCAUCAUCCUCUGAAUCAUUGGGCCGAGAAGAAACACCCAGCAUUGGCUCCAAAAAGGUAGUGUAAAGUCUCAUAGCCUUAUUUAAUUGUUCUUUUGUUGAGAAAACCUCUUCACAUGAAUAUUGGACAAGUUUAUACAAGUCUUCAUGUAAGCUGAUAUCUAAGUAUUCAAACUCCAUAUGUGGAACUAUAGAUUGCCUGUUUCCAGCAGCAACGGCCAGAAGGAUAUCAUCCUCUAUCUGCUUUUUCUCUUUCAAUUCCUUGAUCUCAGCCACCAAAGCUGUCAAUCAAUGGGAGUCAGAAUCAGCAUGGUGGAACAGUUAUUAAAAACCCACAGAGAGAGAAGUGCUCAAGGAAACUAAUCGUCAAAUUAAAAACUUACAUUUGCUACUCAAGUUCUUUGAAUCUUGUUGCUUGAAAUAGAAGCUCCGGUGAUCAAGUGAUUUGUAAUGGUUUUUGGCAUAUAUAUCAGCCCAGACCUUGUUAAAAUCGGAUCUACACCUUGUCCACUCUUCUUGUUUCUGCUUCAGGCGAGUUAAUACAACAGGCAAAGCCAGAGUUGGAUUUUUCCGCAGUAUGUCCACCACAUCAAGACCAUGGUCACCAUAUAAACGUUCAAUGCACCUUAAAUUUAACGCUGCAAUAAAACAAAUCAAAUGAAAAAGGUCAAUGCAGUUAAAGGAGCUCAAAUAGCAGAAUAGAUACCUGACAUUUAAUUGCUUCUCAAUCAGUUAAUAGAUACCAACCAGUGAAGUGGUCUUCAAUACGGAUUGAAGUUUCCAUGCUGAUCUUAUUUUCAUUAAUGCUGUUCAAGAGUUCCUCUGCUCGCUUAGCGGUUGAGCUCACCGACUCUAACAACAUAUCCAACUCAAACCUAAACUUUCCAAAAUGAAAGCCAACAUAAGUUUACAAUAAUGAACUAGCAUGUACUGUAAAGGAAAUGAUAUUACAUCAAUAGUGAUCUACAGAACCUACUAGGAUCUCUAUCCAUCCAUACGAUCUGCAAGCUCACUUGCAUACCAAAAGUAAAAAUGAUAUCAACAGCCUUGUACCAAACAUUACCUAUCAUCCUCGCAUCUGAACAGACUUUCUUCAUACUGAUUUCUGCGCAUAUGUUUAAAAGAGUAAUCUUCACUUCCUGAAGUCACAGAGACCCAAUGGUCAUUCAAAACCUGAGCACCAAGUUCUGAUCUCUGGCUUGCUGAAGGUAUUGGAUACUGCAAAGGGACAAGCAACAAUAAGUUGAGCAUCAGACUAUGUUACAUAGUCCUAUAUUAAGUACAGAAUGUUAACCCGUACGUCUUCAGGCAGAAGCCGAUAGCUUGGAGUACAACGUUCACAGUUAGAGAGAUCAAGCUCUUGAAUAGAUUUUGCCCAAUACUUCUCCCUGUAUCUUUCCUUUUCUUUAGCUCCCUCCGUUUCACGCUUUGGCUCUUUAUCUUUGUCCUCUACCUUCACCGGUCUAGAAAAAGGAACAGGACCAUCACUACUCAGAGAUUCUGCAGUCAACAAGUUACCAAUCAGGAUUCUCAAAUUACAGAAGCAAGCAAAAAUUCCAGAGAAAUGAGAAAUCACAUGAUAGCUCAAAUUAUGCCAUGCAGAAGAAUAAUUAUUCUUCCAAACGCAGAUUGUACAGAAACAGAUCACCUAGUAUCUUAUGAUAAAAAAGACCAAUGGAGGACUAAUAUACAUACUUCUACUCAUAACACCAGCAAGGAACCCAUCUGCAAGAAUAAAUCCCAUCAGAUACAAUCUAAAAGAAAAAGAACCACAAGAAAGCAGCUCAAAAUUGAUGGCAUUUAAGUUACCUAUAUUCUCACAACGCUCCAAAAAAUCAUUAAACUCCUCCAUAAGAUCUGAAUACUUUCCCAAUAAAUCAGUCACCUGAGAUGGGUAAAGUUUACUGGUAAAAGUCAAACUAGAGGCAAUAGCAUUUUUUAAGUUUAUUGAAUAGAAAGAUAAAUAUGUGGUUAUCAUGAAGUGUCCUUCGUCCAGUUUCCCCUAGCUCAAAGAGAGAGCACAAAAUGCUUGACUUUAGAAGUGUUGAUUAACUGCUGAACAUGGAGUAAUACGUACCAAACCUUGCAGAUCAUUCCUUUUAAUUAUUCCGUUGCUAUAAAUGUUAAGCAACUUCAAAAAUGCCUGGUAGUCAUCUUGACUACACAACCUCUCCUUCACCUUCUCACAGAAAACGAAUCCCUGGCUGUACAUGCCUAACAUAAAAAUGAGAGACCAUAAGCAACACUGAUGUAAUAACACGAGAACUGAAACUAUAGAACUUUAAAAAACAACAAUUAUGUUCCAAAGAAUGAUGAACGUAAGCAAAAUAAGCUGCAUCCAUUUCCCAAGGAUUUCAAAAUCAAGUACUGUGAUAAAAAAAAUUCAGGUUUUCCUAAUAUUGAACAGGGAAACAUUACAAGGCGCAUUGUGGGUUAAAAGAAUAUUCAAUUAACACAUCUCUAAUGGCAGACUUUCAGACCAACUACCAGAAAUCACAUCUCUUUCUCCAGGUAGAAUUUUACACUUACACUAAAACUAAACAAACGAUGUGCAUUUUUGUUAGUUCCAUAACCUAAAAUCGUAUCAAUGUUGACAAACCAACAAUUUAUUUCAUAAUUUUAUGGCAGUGAAGACUAACAUUUAAGAUGGCUAUCAUCAUGAGAAACACGCAUAUUGCCAUUUCAAAACAAAUUACAACUCCUUAUUCCAUCUGCAAACCAGAGAAUAAAACCACAAUACCUAGAUGCAACACAUUUAAGAAAGGACCAUGAAUGUAUAUAACUGAAACAGUUUCUUCAUAAACUCACUCUUUAAGGAGUCUUUGUCAUCAUAAGGAGCAAAGUUAGCAGUCAAACCAAAACCUUCAACCUUCCUGGUGGAUUUUCUUUUGUCAGGAAAACGCUGCAAUUUGUAGACACUGUUAUCAUUCUCUAAUUCUCUAUCAUCAUCGUCCCGAUUUCUUCUAUCCCUAUUCUCCUUUUCACUACGCUUUCUAUGCUCCUUCUGAACUUUCACCGUUCCUUUGUCAUCGUCUAGCUCAGGACAAUCAACACUAAGAUCACGAUCAGCAUGGGAUGUCAUGAUCCUAUCCCUCCUACGUUGCUGUGAAAAGAAGCCAGCCCCCCAUUACAAAUCACUAACUAAACAAGAAAACAUCAAAAACAUAAUAGAAAGAGAAUUUCGUAAUUACCUUCUCCAUAUGCAUUGGCCGAAAUGUGGGUGUAGCAGAGCUUCGCUCAUUGAAACGUGGAAAUGAAUUGCGGCCGUAUUGAGCUUGAUGUGCUGAAGCUGCUGCUGACGCAUCUGGUAAAAAUCUGGUGAACUCAUCAAGCAAAUCGGGAUGCUCAUCAAAAAGAGCAGCAACCUGUAAAUUGAUUUAAAUUACUAAGAACAUAGGGAGGAAUAUUUUCUCAGGUAAAUAGAAAUACCAUGUAACAGAAAACAAUUCAACAUCAAACGCCAAAAGUGAAAAUUGUGUACACUUACCUCACUGUAGACCUCAUUUAUAUCCUUGUGCUCCUUUCGAUACAUGUUCAGUAUGUCUAGGAAUGAUUUAUAGACAUGAUCAUCAUUUUGGAAACGUUUCUGUAGGGACAGAAAUCCAUCAAUCAAACAGAAAAUAAUAAAUGUUUAAACUUGCCAUUAGAAUAAAAUUAAACAUAUUCACCUUUAUCUUGUUUACAAAACUGAUAGCUUCCUCAAACUCAACUGUCUUUUUUGGUGGAGUCUCAUCUUCAUCGAGGGUUAUCUCAUAACCCUUCGGCAAGAAGGUAUUAAAGCCCAAAAUUAAGUUGUUAUGCCCUUUAAAUAAUUCCUUUACUCUUGCAAUGACACCUGCUGUGUCAGUUCUGAAAAAGACAAAAACAGGAAUCCAGUAGCUGAGGAAUCAACUAGGAAUGUAUUACGAGAGAAAAAAGGAAUGAUAAUGGGUACAUUGAUACCUUUGGGCCUUGAAAUCUUUCAUAACCUCAAGAAACGUAUCGUAUUUUUCUCUUUGGUCUAAAAACAUGUCCUUCACCUCUUUGAGAUAGGUUAGAGCGUCAUUGGUGGUCAAUUUCUGUGAAGCACCUCCUCCUCCUCCUCCAAUGGGCCCAGCUCCACCUACUCCAACGCCCCCUCCUCCACCUCCUCCCCCCGGUAUCUGGGAUUGCCUAUUGCCCCACAUCCAAAAAAUGAUCAUCAAACUCAACAUAUAACUAUAAAAAUAAAUACUGUCAAAUUCAUGAAACAUCAUAAACAAAAGAAUAAUUACUCAACACAUACAACUCCUUCCUACUUCCCCUGAUAGUUGUUUUCUAAAUCUAGUCAGCUACAACAGAAAAAAUAGAACAUACUUCCAGAAAACAGAGAUAAUCAUCAUUCUCAGGUACUAUUUCCGUCAACAUUCCGUCUACUGCAUUGAUCUAAGCCUCAAACAUAAAACUAUAUUAAUAUUCAUCAGAAGAUUUAAUCUUCCUAAAAGCAUAUCAUAUCUGCUGAAAACAACAUACCUAACAAAAUUUUCAGAAAGCUCUUGACUUUACCUCUAAAAACCGAAAUCAUAUCUGCUAAAAACAACAUACCUAACAAAAUUUUCAGAAAGCUCUCGACUUUACCUCUUAAACCCAAACUAGUACUCAGUUCAACUCUAACAAACAACAAACCCUAAACAAAUUGAACAAAUUAUGAUCAAGAACAAACAAUCCAAUCCACUGCAGGUUAAAAAGUACGCAAUUCAACAACACAACGAUCAAAUUACACCAAUAUUCACAAACAAGGGCAACAGAACCAAAAUCGCGCACCGAUACACUGACAUGAGUAAAAUUAAAAAUCCUCACAAACCAAACAAAACAUAAAGCAAAUCAUGCAAUUGAAGAGUGAUGAACAAAUCAUGGAACUUACGAGUCCCCGCGAGACGAACAGGGGGGCCGCUUCAAUUGAGGGCCGACGUACACAUCAUCUCUCACUCUCUUCAUCCCUGCCAAAAAAAAACCAAAAAUCGCAAAUCAGAAAAUUGGACCCCAAAAAAUUACAAAAAAAAAAAAAAAAAAAAAACAGCCAUUUGCCGAAAGCAAUCGUCGAAGACUUACUAUUCUGCAACAGAUCUUUGAUCGCGCACAGAGGAAGAGAGAGAAAGAGAGAAAAUUAGAACCCAAAAAAGGAGAGAGAAUGGCUUUUGAGAUAUCUGUGAUUGUCUCUUCUGCUUUCUGCUGCCUCUUGUGUUACGUUAGGCAGUGAAUUUUGUGAGAGACGAGAAGAGAAGGGAGAGACUUUAGGUUUUUAGUUUUGGAGGAGAAGAAAAAACGUGGAAAUGGCAAGUAAAUAAUCGGACACAAAGAGAGAGACGAGAGAGAGAAGAGAGAGAAGAGAGAAUUCGAAAAUGUGAAGAGGAACGGAAUGGGUUGUGUUUUUUGGGGUUUUGUAUUGAAAAAUAGCUCAUGUCUCUCUUUUCUCUUCCCAUCCGAGCCUCGGCCUCCACUUGCAAAAAUUAGAAAAAAAAAUUAGAAAAAAAAAACAAGAAGUGCUUUUUAAACUGGUGAGAACGUUUUUGGUAAAAAUAUUUUUGAAACUAAUUUAUGGUAAAUUGGCAAGUGAAUUCUAAAGUGUUAUGUAUAAAAACAAUUGAAGUGUUUUCGGUAAGAAUCACUUCAAGUGUUUCUUGCAUGUGCUUAUUGCAAUAAACACGUCGAGUGAUUUUAUAACUUAAACUCAUUUUCAGUCAUUUAAAAAUCUUUUUCAAACGAGUCAUAUAUUUCUUCUUAAAUAAAUGUGUAAUUCUAAUGAAAAUAUCAAUUUAAAUCAUAUGACGUGGUUGUUGAAUAUUAAAUUAGUAUUUAAAUGUUAAAUGUUGAUUAACGUGUCCAAUUAGUAACACGGUUUGCGCUAAAAGUUGAUUUACUCUAAAUAAAUUCACGGAUUUCGUUAAAAAAUUUUGGACCGAAUUAUGGGCCCGGGUUGGACAAUUUUAGCCCAUGAUUGUUAUGUCUUGAAAGUACAUGUAAAGUAUGUUCGGCCUACUUUUUCCCUUUUUUUUUCAGAGAAUGUUGCCCUUCUUUAGUACUCAAAUUUUUGAAAAAAAAAAAAGAGGUUAGAAUAAUGCCACGCUCUUGAAACUAUAGUCGAAUCUGAUAUUGCUCUAAAAGUUGUAUUGACCUAGCUUUCCCACAUGAAUAAUGUUUGAUGUGUCAUUUUGUUCCACACCAUUAAGUAACUUAAAAUAUUUCGUCAAGACCACGGAACAACUAUGUCCUCUUGACAAACUUAAUGAUUAGUAGUUUAAAGUAAGACAUCAAAACGUUGGUUAGUGGAGUAAAGUGGGUUAUUGUAACUGUCAUAUUACAACAUCGGAUUUUAUCGUAACUUAAAGAGUGGUUACUAUAAUUAUGGAUUUUAAAUUUGAUUUAACCAAGUCUCUGGUUUAAUUCAACAGAUUUACGUAUUGGCCUUUUGUAUAUAUGACUAGAAAUUGCUCUCAUUCUCUAGAAAUGUGAUCCUGUCUCCAACUUUAAGCUUUUGUUCAAUUUUUCCUUUGUUGAUUGUUUUGUUUGUUUUGUAGAGAGGCUGCCUCGUGUGACCGUUGGGAAUCUUAAACCUGCAACCGCACAAGUUAUUUGGAUCGAUUUUUCAGUAUGUCAAGUACAUAGUUUUGUAAAUUAAGUAUUAUAAUACAAGUGGUUAAAUACUUGAAAAAAAAAUUCAACCACUUAUACUCUAAUACUUGUUGUAUUGGACGUUAUUUCCGGUACAUUGAAACAUUUCUUAAUUUUUUUCAAGUGGAGUUAGGCUUCAAAACUGCCAAUCCACGCAAGUACACAAACUGGUGCCUUCCUCCUCGAAGUGGUAAUGUGGUGGUACAAUCAACUCCAUGCACAAAAGUAAAUAUAAAAUAUGCAAAAAGGCAGGGCCAGAAAAAUGUGACAAAGAAGAGAAAAGAAAAACAAUGGCAAAGAGAGGAAGAUUAAAAUAUAGUUUGAUAACUUAGAUUCAUUCCUAACAUCUUUUAAAGCGUAGGGUCUACGAGGAGUAACUAUAAAGAAAAGUAUUAAGCUGAUUUAGGUUAUGUCAUUUAGUGAUGAUAAUGUGUCGAUUUAUUUACUCAAGUUUAAAUUUCCUUCUAAUGAACUAGAGUUGUUUAUAAUAUAUGACAUCAAAAUAGAGACUUGGUUAAAUUGUUGAAGUACAUUACGAAGUAGGCACUACAAAAACUGUUGAAUUAAACACAAGUUUUUAACACAAGUUUUUGUAGUACAUAUUUAUGUACUUCAACAAAAGAAAUCAAAAUAGAUAUGUGACAUCAUUUAUUUUACAUAAUUUUUAACACAAGUUUUUGUAGUGCCUACUUCGUAAUGUACUUCAACAAUCUAAACCUUCUGUUUUUUAGAACAUCAUUCAUAGAUCCUCGUCGCAAAAAAUUAGACAAAUCCAAAGUCAUUAAGACAUUUAUUUAUAGUGAAGAAAAUAAACAAAUACGGUUCUACAAAGAAAAUUCUUAAUCCAAUGGCUAUAUGGUUUCAAAUUUGGGUAAUUUUUAAAGACAUGAUAUUUGAGAUAAUAUCUAAAAGAUAGAUGUUCAGAUGGUUAAAAGACGUUAUGAGCUCCACAAAAACAUGUGUCAAAAGUUGUUUAAAAAAACUGGUGUCACGAAUUCAUCCCCAAAUAAACUAAAUCGCUUACGAUCACCUAAAAAAAUGGAAUAUCUUUAAUUAAAAAUUUAGGGGAAGUGAUGUGUGUUUGAAUAUAGUGCAAAAGGUCGAUUUUAGAUUCAGUUGUUACAAAAGGCAAAUAAAAAGAAAAGAUGAAGACAUUUUCUUAGAUGAAUAUUAUUAGUUAUUCUUGUUUAUUUUAAGAGAAUAAAAUUUUAAAGUAAAUUGUAGCAAUGGUUCCUCAACUUUAACUUAAUUAGAGUAAUGGUCCUUCAACUAAAAAUCCAUUAGCAUUUAUCCUUCAACUCAUAAAAACGUGCAGUUAUAGUCUCUCAACAAAAAAUUCAUUACCAAUGAUCCCUCAACUUUAAUCAAACUGGAGAAAUGGACCCUCAAUUUUAACCCAAUUGGAGAAAUGGUUUCUCAACUUUAAUCAAAUUGUAGCAAUGGUCCUUCUAACAUAACUCGUUGUAACAAAUUUUUAAGGAUGUUGACGAAAACGACCAUAGCUACACGUUUUGAUGAGUUGAAUGGCCAAUGGUAAUGGAUUUUUAGUUGAGGCACCAUUGCUCCAAUUUGAUUAAAAUUGAGGGACCAUUGCUAUGAUUUACUCAAAAUUUUAAGAUAAAGGCUCAUCCAUAACUAGAAACUGGAAAAGGACUGUGGAUAAGCUUUUUUGUUCUCUUCUUCCCAGCUUUUUCCUCGAGCAUUCAACUUUGCUUGAAAAAAGAAACUAUUUGCUAUAAGCGAAGUGAAGUGAUUUGUUCUAUUAAAAUUAAUAGGUGCUAAUGGAUUUCACAGGUAAAUUCAAAAUGACACGUUAUUUAAUAGAUUCACCCGUUAACAAUCCGAUUUGUAAAACAUUCACCUAAAAUCAAAUGCUUUGGAAUAAUGAAUUGAGUUUAAAAUGCCAUGUUUAGUGGGUGGAAAGUAGGCCUGGCAAUUCCUGACACGACCCGAUAACCCGACACGACACGACACGAAAUUAACAGGUGUUCGGGUCAACACGAUAACGAAACGGGUCGUUAUCGGGUAACCCGAUAAGCACCUGUUAAGAUAACGGGUUUGUUCGGGUAUACACGUGGGUAACACGAUACACGAUAAGCAGAAUAUUAAUUUAAUAAUUUAUAACCCUAAAAAAAUACUAUAAUAAUUAUAUAUAUAUAUUAAUUUAACAAUUUUAUACCCCUAAAAACUAUAAUAAUUAUAUAUAUAUAUAUAUAUAUAUAUAUAUUAAAUUAACUAUAAUAAUUAUAAUAAUUAUAUAUACUAUAAUAAUUAUACCCAAAAUAUUAACUAUAAUAAUUAUAUAUAUAUAUAUAUAUAUAUAUUAAAUUUGAUACCCCUAAAAACUAUAAUAAUUAUACAUACAAAAUAAAUAGAUUUAAAUCUACUUAAUAAAUAAAUAUAUAUAUAUACACACACACACCAUUGAACUUCAUGGGAUAUGAAUUAUACGAAACUAAUUUCAACGAUCCAACCGUCAAACAUGUUUGUAUAUACUUCGAGAUCGCAUACGCCAAAAAUUGCAAAAAAAAAACAUUCAAAGAGCAAGUAACGGGACAAAACUUUUCGACGGUUAUAAACGAAAAAUCACGAUUUAACGGUCAUUUUAACUCCGAUUUUGAUGAUUUUUUACAACUACACUCCUUGACCCUAUAUGAAUACAAUGAUUGAAUUCGAUCUUCAAUUUAAAAUAUUUACACUAUCUUAUGUUAUACUUAAUAAAAGUAUAAAUAAACUCUUAAAUAUUAGUGAAUCUAUUGUUUUGAUGGGAUACUCAUUCUACAAAACUAGUUUCAAUGAUCCAACUGUCAAACAUGUUUGUAUAUACUUCGAGAUCGCAUACGCCAAAAAUUGCAAAAAACAAACAUUCAGAGAUCAAGUAAUGGGGCAAAAGUUUUCGACGGUUAUAAACAAAAAAUCACGAUUUAACGGUUAUUUUAACUCCGAUUUUGAUGAUUUUUUACAACUACACUCCUUGACCCUAUAUGAAUACAAGUAAUGAAUUCGAUCUUCAAUUUAAAAUAUUUACACUAGUGGAUACCACAAAAUCUUAUGUUAUACUUAAUAAAAGUAUGAAUAAACUAUUAAGUAUUAGUAAAUUUAUUGUUUUGAUGGGAUACUCAUUCUACGAAACUAGUUUCAAAGAUCCAACCGUCAAACAUGUUUGUAUAUACUUCGAGAUCGCAUACGUCAAAAAUUACAAAAAAAACACAUUCAGAGAUCAAUUAAUGGGACAAAACUUUUCGACGGUUAUAAAAAGAAAAAUCACGAUUUAACGAUCAUUUUAACUCUGAUUUUGAUGAUUUUUUGCAGCUACACUCCUUGAUCUUAUAUGAAUACAAUGAUUGAAUUCGAUCUUCAAUUUAAAAUAUUUACACUAGUGGAAACCACAAAAUCUUAUAUUAUACUUAAUAAAAGUAUGAAUAAACUAUUACGUAUUAGUGAAUCUAUUGUUUUGAUGGGAUACUCAUUCUACGAAACUAGUUUCAAAGAUCCAACCGUCAAACAUGUUUGUAUAUACUUCAAGAUCGUAUACGUCAAAAAUUACAAAAAACAAACAUUUAGAGAUCAAGUAACGGGACAAAACUUUUCGACGGUUAUAAACGAAAAAUCACGAUUUAACAGUCAUUUUAACUCCGAUUUUGAUGUUUUUUUACAACCACACUCCUUGACCCUAUAUGAAUACAAUGAUUGAAUUCGAUCUUCAAUUUAAAAUAUUUACACUAGUGGAUACCACAAAAUCUUAUAUUAUACUUAAUAAAAGUAUGAAUAAACUAUUAAGUAUUAGUGAAUCUAUUGUUUUGAUGGGAUACUCAUUCUACGAAACUAGUUUCAAUGAUCCAACCGUCAAACAUGUUUAUAUAUACUUCGAGAUUGCAUACGCCAAAAAUUGCAAAAAACAAACAUUCAGAGAUCAAGUAACGGGACAAAACUUUUCGACGGUUAUAAACGAAAAAUCACGAUUUAACGGUCAUUUUAACUCCGAUUUUGAUGAUUUUUUACAACUACACUCCUUGACCCUAUAUGAAUACAAUGAUUCAAUUCGAUCUUCAAUUUAAAAAUAUUACACUAGUGGAAACCACAAAAUCUUAUGUUAUACUUAAUAAAAGUAUGAAUAAACUCUUAAGUAUUAGUGAAUCUAUUGUUUUGAUGGGAUACUCAUUCUACGAAACUAGUUUCAAUGAUCUAACCGUCAAACAUGUUUGUAUAUAUUUCGAGAUCGCAUACGCCAAAAAUUGCAAAAAACAAACAUUCAGAGAGCACGUAACCGGACAAAACAUUUCGACGGUUAUAAACGAAAAAUCAUGAUUUUAACGGUUAAUUUAACUCCGAUUUUGAUGAUUUUUUACAACUACACUCCUUGACCUUAUAUGAAUACAAUGAUUGAAUUUGAUCUUCAAUUUAAAAUAUUUACACUAGUGGAUACCACAAGAUCUUAUGUUUAUACUUAAUAAAAGUAUGGUAUAGUACUAUUGUUUUAUUUGUUUUCAUAAUUAUUUUGGUAAACUUCUCAUAAUUUGAAUGAUUUUUAAUGUUUGGUUUUUCUAUGCUUAGUUUAUGCAGAAGAUAGUUAUGACGUGGAAAACCUUACUGAAAACAUCAUCAACAUAACUCUUGAAGGCAAUAGAUCAAGCCAAAGUUCAAAUGCAAUUUCAUGAUGAUCGAUGUAAAUCGAGGAUUUUGUAAAUUGAGGUUUAAACUUUUGAGAAAGAUUUCACAACCUUGAAAACAAAAACUGUUUCAUUUUGCAUAUCCUUGCACAUUUAAAAUUUGUAAUAGAUUAGUAGUGUAUGUAUUAUUUUUUUAUUAGGCUCUUAUUUUCGAGUGUAGAUGUAGUACUUAAACGACAAAUGUGUUUUAAUGUUUUGAAGUAAUAUUUAUGUGGCAAUGUGUGGUAUGUGCAAAUUUAAGAAAAAAAAUAUAUUUUUCUUAACGGGUCAUAACGGGUCGGGUCACUUUUACCCGUUGGGUAAAGUGACACGACCUGUUAAGGACCCGUUAAGAUAACGGGUAUGACACGACACGACCCGUUAAGAUAACAGGUGUUACACGAAAACGACACGAACACGACUGACACGACCCGUUUGCCAGGCCUAGUGGAAAGGCUCCCUACUAUCUUAUGGUGAUUCAAGUUUACCUAGUUCCAAUAAUAAAAAAUCAGAACAUCAACAAAAAAUAAAAAGUCAAAUUUUGAAAACUUCAAAAUUUAAUUUUAUCGUUUUUUAUUUUUAGUUUUCCUUGAACUGAAAACUCAAAAAUAGUUACCAAACAUGAUUUUUGUUUUGUUUUUUAUAAAAUAAAAAUGUAAAAACAAAAUCGAAAACGAAAUAGUUAUUAAACAACCUUAGAAAAACAUGAUGAAAACUUUGAAUGUCAAUCAAGCAUUUUUGGUUUUGUGUUUUUUACCACAUUCAACUAAAAGCAAAAAUUAGACAAUUGGGUAAACAAGAAAAUUAAGAUUUAAGAACACAAAUGUUCCCGCGCUCCAACUGCGAGGACAUCAUCUUCUUCAGUAAACGUUCGACCUGUGCACUUUAUUGCUCUAGUUCUUAAGACAUCCAAACUUCUAAUUGACCUCGAUCGAUUCUUAUUAAUUAUGAAAACAACCAAUGUACUUCUGUGUAUCUUCGGGAGCCACCAAUGGCAGUUCAAAAACGUCAUCACUUACUCUAGCAAGUGCAACUUCUCCCUGAAUGUGUACGACUUUUCUUAAAUGUCAAUAACAACUCCCGUUAUCUAAUCAUGUGGUUUAUCUGCUCGCAACAGGUUCUCGUUAUUCCAUCUUCCAGCUCCACCCAGGUUCGGUCCUCCUAGGGAUCCUUCUCUCCAUUCUCGUUGACCCGAAGUCUGCAAUAUGGGCACGUCGGGUUAUUGCUCCACCAGGUCCUAAAACAUUUAGCAUGGAAGCGGUGGGAGCAAUCCAGUGAAAUGUACCCAGCAUUCAGCCUCCCCAAGCAGAUACUGCACUCCCCGUUGUCCUCCUGAAAGUCAAAGAUCAACACAAGAUUAUGAUUAAAAUAAGAACAAUAAUUUUAUACUUAUUGCAAGGAGGAAAUCAUGAUAAUAAUCUCAAAAGUUCAAAACUUCUCAUAGAGAAGACUUUAUUUUUCCUGAAUUGAUAAUUUUGAAAUCUAGAGUUUUGAUUUUGGAUUUCACAUUUUCACGAGUAAUGAUUUUUCGCCAGAAUGCUUAUGUUGUCGGAAUCCGAAUUGAAACAAAAAUUAUCUUGAUCAAUGAAAAAUUACCAACUGGAAUUCGGCCAGGUGAUUUAACAAGUCCAUGUGUUACGGAUUGAUAUUUGGGACUUUUAGGGUUAGUAUCUAUAAGUAUCCACUCAUAACACGGGGACCAACUCAUGUAGCUGUUUUUUAGUACCACACAACAGUUACUCAUGAGCAACGAUCCAUAUCCACAACUUUGACAACAUAAGCAUCUUAUGUUGCUAGAUAUUCCGAUGGAAUACACUUCACAUACUUGACAAAUAGUAAUCAUUUUGGCAAAAUUCAAAAACUAAAACAGAAGUUUAAAUCAACAAUUCAAAUCAAAUAUCAUACCACCAAAAACAAUAUAUUCAUGUAAUAUAAACACCAAUUAACGAUCAUAUAUGUUGUAAUGACAUUCAACAACUCUAUAUAUUUAACUGUCAAUGAACAAUCGUACUAUGUCAUUCAAUGUACCACGGAAUCCUAACAAAUUAAGACACAUGCUUUGAUUUAAAAAAUAUAUUUGUACUCACUCACGUUUGUCAAGUUUAUAGAGCCAGCAGCUUCUUCAUCUUCAUCAACUGUCUGUUUCAGCGAAGUUGCAUCUUCGUCGUCAUCCGGGGUUAUCUGAUAACCCUCCGGUAAGAAGGGAUUAAAUCCCAAAAUUAAAUCCUUAUGCCCUUUGAAUAAUUCCUUCACUCGUGCAACCACAUCUUCUGUGACAGCCCUGAGUUCAGGAGAACGAGAACAAGAAAAUUAAUCCAACUGCGGAUAUAACACCAACAACAACCCAUCCAUCAUAAUUAACAGAAAGAAAAAAAAUUAGUUUUAAUUUGAGAUUGGAAAUUGGAAAUCUGAACUUACCUUUUAGCCUUGAAAUCUUUCAUGAUCUCGAGAAAUUUCUCAUAAUUUUCUUCUUUGUCACAAAACGCAUCCUUCACUUGUUUGAGAAACAAAAGAGCAUCGGCGGUUGUCAAUUUCUGAGAAUCACCGCCUCCUCCACCGCUGGGUAAUCGGGAUCGCCCAUUGCUGUGCUCCAAAUCCAGAAAGGAACAAAAGAAAUUCGUAAAUUUGAUAAUAUAAUUAUCUAAGAUAAAAAAUUUAUAUAAUCCAAAAAAAAAGUUGGAAGAACGACAGAUAUACAUGACAAAAUUCAUAAAGCUCUGAAAUUCACCUUUCAAAACCAUUAGCCAUCCGUCAAACAGAAAUUUUAAGGACUUUCUCGAGAAAAUAAGCAGAAUAUGUGAACUAGAUCUCGGGGAAGAGCGGGAAAGUGGUUAGGGUUUUGAUCGCUGACAGUGACAAAUGGGGACACUGAUGUUUUAGGGUUUUGUGUUAAAAACAAAUUCUUGGUGGUUUUGUGGAUAUGACCGCUUGUAUUUUCGAUUUUUAGGAUAAAUUUUUAACCAAACUUUCAAACAAAAUGACUUAGUUGUUGAUAAUUGAAUUAUUAUUUAAGUAUUAAUUAACGUGCUUAUUUUUUAUUUGUGACACAUCAUUUAGUUUGUGAAUUUAGUUUAAAAUUUUGGUCUCGCUAGCAUUAACCUUUUUUUUUAAUUUGGACCACGAUGGGCCAAUUUGGAUAAUAUCAGCGACUUUAUAAUUCUCCUAAAAUAGCCAAAUAAAUUAGUUAAUUUUUAUAGAAUAUUUUUUUUAGCUUAAAUUUUUAUAGAUGGCGAGUUCGGUAUAUUUUUCUUUUUUGCUAGGGAAAAAACGAGUACCACUGGAGUACAAUAAAAAAGGAAAGCAUUCCAAGUCUUGGAAGGCACUGAGUGAUCCCACGUAUGAGUGUCUUGAAUAGGAAGAUCAAAUCUAGUAAAUUGUCUGCCAUGAAAUUUGCUUCUCUAAAGACAUCAAUGGCUAAUCCAAGAAAUAAAAUGCGGGGUUAAUAAGAAUAGCACUUGUAGUGCGCAAAAUUUAUGGACAAUUGAGCAUGCAAAUUGGCAUUUGGUCCAACAUUGGUGGGCCUGAAGUGAUUUGCCAAGUUAUAUUCCACACUUGUCAAUAUAUGCCAACAGCUUCUAAGUGACCAUGUCGACUGAUAUCAAUAACUUUUGAUCGAGCAUGCCACCAGAUACCAACGUAUCCUAAGUGACCAUAUCGACAAAUGCCCAAUGCCCAUACAGACAAUCGUCGAACAGUUAAAAGGCAACUUUCAAGGGCAUCUCAGAUUUUCAAAGGGAUACACCCAACACACAAAUAUAUGUUUCUAAGUGAUAAUAUGGAAGAGUUCGAUACAAUGUAUUCCUUCGAUAAGAAUGUAAAUAUACUGUUCUAUUAUUCUUGUGACCGCAAAAAGCUUCUUCCUCGGUUAUUUAUUUAUUUAUUUAUUUUUUACAAAUUUUGUCAGCAUUCUGAAAUAACCAUAAAUCCAUUCCUCACUGACAACUCUUUUUUAUUUUUAUUGGUACAAGAGACAACAUGUAUGAAAUACUUGCUAAACAUUUGAUUCCGUAAACUUAACUAAACAAAAAAAACAUGGGUAAAUUACAUAGUAGUCCCUCAGGUUUGAGGUUUAUUACAACCACAUAUAACAACUUUAAAACAUUUCACUUUCAUACAUCCAGUACCAUUUUAUUUCAAAAUAACACAUCCGUUAGAUUUUUCAUCCAUUAGUAUGUUAAAUGAUGACGUGGCUGCCACAUUUGUGCUGAUGUGGCUGCCACGUGGCAUUUUUUUGUUUUUUAAACCUAAAUCUUCUAAAUAUUAAAAUUAAAAAUCAAAAUAAAAAACUGAAACCUUCCCUCAUCCUCCUCUCUUCUCCCCGCAACCCCCAAACCCAUAUCCCCCAUCUUCAUCUUUUUCCCUGCAACCCAGAAAGAAAAGAAAGAAGAAAAAAAAAAAAGCCCCCUUCGAUUUGUCUUCCCCCCCCCCCAUCUUCCCCCAUCUUCUCCCCCAUCUUCAUCUUCUUCCCCCAACCCCCUACCUGCAACCCAAAAAAAAAUAAAAAAAACCAUAUCCCGUCUCACCAUCAUCGGGUUCGUGGAAUGGGGGGUGUGUAGAGAAGGAAAGAGGGUGGGUGCGGAUGGAGGGAGGGUCACCGGUGGGGGGGGGUGUUAUGGGUUUCUGGUUUUAGGGUGGGGGACGUGGGUGGGGUGGGGGGUUAUCAUUUUUGGGUUGCAGGGAUGAACUUGAAGAUGGGGGGUAUGGGUUUGAGGGUUGCGGGGAGAAGAGAGGAUUUUAGGAGUUGCAUUAGGGUGUUGGGGGGGGGGGGGAGAGGAAGGAAGGGAUCUGGGUUUCGGGAUUUUCUAGUUUUUUUUAAUUUUAUUAUUUAGAAGAUUUAGGUUUUUUUUUAAAAUAAAAUAAAAUAAUUUUUGUUUCCACGUGGCAGCCACAUCAGCACAAAUGUGGUAACCACGUCAGCAUUUAACAGACUAAUGGAUGAAAAAUCUAACAGAUAUGUUAUUUUGAAUUAAAAUGGUACUGGAUGUAUGAAAGUUAAAUGUUUUAAAGUUGUUGUAUGGGAUUGUAAUAGACCUCAAACCUGAGGAGCUACUAUGUAAUUUACCCAAAAAGCAUCAUGAAAAGUUUGAACCCAUUAAUUACUACCACAUACAAAGUUUGAAGCGAAGCAUGUAGUAAAUGUUGAUUGAUAUUGCUACACAUAUUACUUGUAUAGAUGCAAAUAACUAUCAAACUCUACCCAACUUUUGAGGGUUUAGAAUUGAGCAAAAUGUUUGAUAAUAUUAUUAGAAAACUUCAUUUUAAUCCUUAAAAAAGAUGAGUUUUAGAUUAUAACCAUAUGUAAGAUUAAAAUCCAAUUUUAGUCCCUAGCACAUUUAAUCAUAUCAUUUAUUAGUUGUAUUUUGAUGUUUUAUUUUAUCCUUUUAUUUUUAUUUUAAUGUAUUAAUUACAUUUAAAUUUAAUUUUUAUUUCAUUCAUCAUAAUAUAUUUUAAUGUCUACAUUUAGGCAACUAAUUUUUUUAUAAUAUAUAUUCCGAUAACAAUUUUGUAUGUUCUUUAUUUAGGUACAUUAAUACAUUUGAAUAUUUUGGUAUAUCCAUCGGUACAAACAUGUAGUUACAUUGAUUCAAUAUAAUGCAUUUCGGUCAAUAUAAUGUAUUUCGUUACGUACACUUUGGUACACACAUUUGAGUAUCGACUUUUAGGUACAUUAAUUCAAUUAUUAUAUUUCGGUAAAUACAUUUAGGUACAUACAUUUUGGUAUUGAUAUUUAGGUACAUACAUUUUCGAUAUUGACAUUUAGGUACAUACAUUUCGAUAUUGACAUUUAGGUACAUUAAUUCAAUAUAAUACAUUUUGGUACAUACAUUUAGGUUCAUUAUAAUAUAUUUCGGUACAAUCAUGUAGGUACAAAUAUUUCAGUACAAAAAAGUCAAUUUUAUAUAUUUUGGCACAAUCAUUUCUGAACACUUAUGUAUUUAUAUAUUUUUGUAUCACAAUUUUUUUUUAAUAUUUUCUCAUUACAUUCAUUUCUAAUUAAAAAAAAAACUAAAUAUGUGCAUAUUAAUAAAAUUAAAAUUUAAUAUGGAGAGAUUAAAUAAAAAUACACAUUAAAUAACAAAAAUUGAAUGUAAAUUUUGAUAAAAGUACACUCAAGGGAUUAAAUUGAAUAUUUAAUCUAGCACCAGGUUUUUUUUUAAAUUUUAAUCUUUUGCAAGGAUUAAUGUUCAAAAACCCCUAAUAUUAUUUCCCUCGUUGAUAAAUGAGAAAAUUGGGAAAGUGUGAGAUAAUAAUUAGCAAAGGGAAUUGUUAUUAGCACUCUAAAAAUUUCAUUAUACACUCCAAACUUUCUAUAUUAAGAAAGAAAAAUACACUUGUGAGGAGUGUAAAAUGAGAUUUUUGAAGUGUCAAUAACACCUUCCUUUUUUUUUUGGAAAUCAGAAUAAUCAUAUCCGGGCAAAGAUGCCAAAAGGAACAAGAAAGCCAACCAAAGUGGCUAACAAACAAACAUCACAACAACAGAAAAGAGAACAAGAAGGUACAAGGGAACCGUGAUGCCGCACCAAAUGCUAAAGUGUCCCUUCUCAAACUAACAAAAAGCAACUACGGAGGGCAAGGAAGACCAUCAUUGCAUAAUACAUGGACCAGGGAAGAUGGGGGUCUAUUGACCCAAGUUUGAUCACAUACUUCCUUACAAUUGCGCGACGCCAAACAGUCCACGACCAAGUUGGCCAGUCUUAGAACCCAAGACCAGCGGCAAGCUUGAAAAGCCCUUCCCAAUCUUAAGCACUUCCUGAGAAUUGGAAAAGCAUCCCAAUUGCCCUUCUUUGCCGGAUCCCUCAGGCAAGAGAUUGAAUCGAAAGAGUCCGAUUCAACACAUAUCGAAUUCCAUCCAAUUCUUGCCCCCAGAUUACACCCAUGCAUAAUGGCCAAAGCUUCCGCCAUAGUAGCACCCGUAGCCUUAAUCAAAACAAUAAGUCGUGCAAAGUAGUGGUAGAGGUUUGUCAUUGAGAAAUGGCUCGUUGUACUGUAUGCCCUGCAUAUGUAGAGCAAAGCACCCUUUGGACUGGAGUAGGAUUCUCUCCCUUCCAAAAUUAAUGAGAAAAUUGUACUCCUUUGGACCAGUGAGGAGUUGACAACAGGUGCUCCCGGUAUCACGAAAAGGUCAUCAGAAUGAAAUGACUGAAAAGUCAAAAGGGUCAACUUCCUCCCCAAAUCAAAGUUAACACAAUUACACCCCCAAUAUAGGACGGCAUCAUUGCUACCUGUAAUUGUUGCAUUCAAUCUCCAUUUCAAUACACAAUUAGGCAAGACACAAACUCAUCCAAAAAAUAAAUGAGAUUUCACAAUAGUACGUAAGAAUUAAGCUUGCUGAUUGAGUUAGGGUGCACUCAAUUGCGUGUAUAGAUGAUUCUUGACCGUUGAUCACUAUGAGACCCAAUUUGAACAAUAGUUAAAAGGGCGAUUGAUCGUAUUAUUUUCCUUGUCAAUUUCAACUAAACUCUAGCAAAAUUCUAAAAUUAUUUUCCUUCAACCUAACUAGUAUGCAUCAUUGUGGCGUUCGUUGAUCCAAGUCAUUUACAACUUCCCCCCUAUUGAUUAUUUAUGGUAGAAUGGCUUUACAUUUUUGCUAAACUUAUAUCUCUGGCGUAUGAUUAGCUUAUUUAGUACUGUAGUUUAUUUUUGUUUUGACAAAAAAAAAAAAAAAAGAACUGUCCGUUUGCAAUUAAGGGUUAUAAACAUUUUUAAGUGUUUUUCUAUUAAUUUUUAUUACUAUCAGGGCCCAAGAUCCUCUCCUGAGCUCAGGGUGAGGAUAUUCCUGAGCAAGCUCAUUGGGCCGUUCAAAUUUUAUCCAACGGCAGGGAGCCUCUCUAAAAGUUAUAAUAAUUGUAACCGUUAGAUAAAAUUUGAACGGCCUGAUGGGCUUACUCAGGAGGAUCCUCACCUUAGCUCAGGAGAGGAUCCUGAUCCUAAUGUCAGAAGCCUCAAAAGGAAUCUCCUAUGUCAAUUGGUUGUUUUUCUUGGCAGUUGGAUUUAUCGUCAUUUGGUUGACAAAGACAUUCUGUUUCUUUUAGUCUCAUAUGCCAACUUGAGUAUAAAACAGUGGUUAAAGGCUACCUAGACUAAGUUCUAGGUCGGAUUAUUCAUGUUAGUCGUCCGCCCAACCACCAGCGCAAGCUUCUUAUAUUAAAAAAAAAAGAAUUAUUAUUAGCACUUCAAAAAUCUCAUUUGACACUCUAAAUUUUUUAUAAUUAUAAAAAAAUUACACUUGUUAGGAGUGUAAAAUAAGAUUUUUAGAGUGCUAAUAACAGUUCCCUAAAAAAAUAGGAUAACAAAAAUCAUAAGAGAAGCAAGAUCCACUUGCCCGGUUCACCAGUUACUACCACUACGAGGCCUAAUCAUACAAAAGAAGAGUUUGGUCAUGACUCAAAAUGAAUGCUAGCUAUAUGCUCAAUACAUGCAAGUCAGAACAUUAUUUUCAGGGAGUUGGGCUGAAGUAAAAGAAGCCACGGGAAAGUGGAUUAGGAGCCUUGAAAAUUUACUGAGACUUUUAAUACAUGCUAUACAUUCGAAAAAAAAAAAUCUAAACAUGGAACCUAAAAUACAUGCUAGACAUUUUUUUAGGGUAGUGUUAUUCACACAUCAUUUUUUACUUCUCACAUGCCUGUCUCAAUUUCUGACCGUUAGAUCGAAUUAAUUGAAAAAGAUGAAUGACAAAACGUUAAUAAGGGUGUAUAGGAGGUAAAAAUGGAUGUGUGAAUAGCACUAUCCUUCUUUUAAUUUAACAACUUACGAGACUUUUCAUGUUUUGUUUUAGUGAAAAAACUUUAAAACAUUGGUUCCUUUUAAGGAACAAAAAUGAUAUUCAUAUCAUCUAUUUGUACCAUCUCUCUAACAGAGAUGUGACCCACAUGUCCUGGUGGGCUUUACCUCUAUUGAAAAGAUGGUACAAAUGCAUGGUAAGUAUAUCACUACUUUUUACGGAAAAACCUAAUUAGUAGAGAGACAACAUAUAUGUACAUUAGAGUUUAAAAGAGAGAAUAUUUAUACAGUUCCUUGGCAUCCUUUCUAGUUUUCUAGUCCAUACUUCUUACCCAAUGCCAACACCAUUAUUUCGAAGAGACUUGAAGCUUUGGCAAGUUUACUCUUCCUGCUUAGGACUAUUUAAACCUUCAUCAUCAACCACCAUUUUGGUGGGGCAAAAAUAAGAACAAAAAGAAGGGAGGAGUCAAUUAUAAUUUCAAUACAAUUCAGUGCCCUUUUCUGCGGGUGGGGUCCUUUGGAGGCUGACCAAUGAGAAAUAAGCACCUGCAGGCCCUUUGGCCAAAAGCGACGAGUGGGUCCCUUUCUCCACGACCUUUCCUUUAUCCAGCACAGUAAUCAUAUCACAAUUCUGUAUUGUACUCAACCUGUGGGCCACCACCACGCUGGUCCUCCCCACCAUCACACGCUCCAGCGCGUCCUGCACAACCUUUUCAGACCGACUGUCGAGCGCGCUGGUCGCCUCGUCCAGCAACAAAAUGACGGGGUUUCGAAGUAUCGCCCUGGCUAUAGCAAUCCGUUGCUUUUGUCCGCCGGAUAGCUGCACUCCCCUGUCCCCGCACGACGUGUCAUAUCCGUCUUUCAAUCCCGCAAUGAAAUCGUGCGCGUUGGCCGCCCUCGCGGCUUCCACUAUCUCCAACUCAUCGACCUUGUCCGAUACGCCGUACACAAUGUUUUCUCGUAUGGUCCCGGCAAAUAACGUUGGCUCUUGACUGACCAAUGCUAUGUGUUUUCUCAAUGAUUUGAGGUGGUACGACUUCACAUCUUGACCGUCGAUUUUGACCGCUCCCUUGAUCGGAUCGUAAAACCGUUCUAUCAAUCCGAUGAUCGUUGAUUUACCUGAACCACUUUGGCCCACCAAUGCCGUUGAUUUUCCCGCCUCGAUUUUGAUUGAGAAGCCGUUGAAGAUCAUAACAUCGGGCCUAGCGGGGUACGCGAAAUGCACGUUGCGUAGCUCAAUGCUGCCCGUAAUUCUUUUGGGGUCGAGACCUUCGGGGUCUUCAGGCUCGAUUUUUGUGUACUUGUCUAACACGGCAAAAACAGACCCAACGGCGUCUGCUCCCUUGGCGAGGUCUGUGGUCAUGCUACCAGCAUCGGCAAUGACCCGGCCCGUGCUGACCAAGAUCAUGAAGGUCUGGAAAAGUUGUUUUGCAUUGACGUAGCCCUUGGCGACAAGCUUGCCUCCGUACCAAAAGUCGAAGGCCCAAGUGACGGUCGUGAGGCUUUGGGAACAAGCGAGUCCAAUGCCGGCAUACCAUGACUGUCGGAUACUCUCCCGACGCGGGCCUUCUUGGGCCUUUUCGAGCAUUUUCAAGAGGCGGUUUUGGGAUGAGAAGGCGGUGACUGUCCGGAGGUUGGAGACUGCUUCCGCGGCGAGCUUGCUGCUUUCUUCCUGGGAUUUUAUGGCCUUCUGGGACAUAUUUUUGAGCAGGACACGCCUUGUGUAGAAGCAUACAAUGAUGAGGGGUUGUACGGCUAUCAUGACAAGUGCAAGUCUCCAUGUAAUGAUCAGUCCCAUUGUGCAAGCUACUGUUACUGCUGACAUGGUUUGUACAACAAGAGCCAUUCGAUCACCCACCAAAGAUCUCACCUGCAACAAAAUAAUGUUCAUCUUAAAUCUUAAAAAAUUCGUACUUUUAUAUAGCUAAGAAGAUCAGUCCAACUAGCUCUACAAUGUUAUUUUUCUUUUCAACUUCAAAUUAAGUUCGAAGUUCGAAUCACAUUUAUCUUAAGAAAGUUCUAACAAAAACAUAAAAUAUGCGACUCCAUACAUAAUUCUAAUGAGUAUAACUACAUACACACUCUUAAACUAGUGAAUCAUUUAAAAAAAAAAUGCGUCAAUAAUGUGAUCAGUUUGUUUGUCUGAACAACAUUAUCGAUCAUAGUAGAUUAUUAGUGAACGAAUUUGAGGACUAUAGGCAUCAUCAAAUUCUGAUUAUACGUACCACAUUGGCAUCUUUGGCGAGUCUAGAGCAAAUGGCACCACUAGAAUUCUCAUCCUGAUCAAACCAUCCCACUUCAAAAGUGAGUACCUUUGAAAGCAUCCUCUCUCUAAUCCUCUUAGUCAAGUACUCUCCCAUGUAAGCAAAGUUGUAAUGCUGGCUGACAUUGAUCAGCAACGAGAAGAUUGCCAACCCUAGAAAGCAAAGAGAAUAAGUCCUUGUCUUCGCCUUAAUCUCGUCGUGGUCCUUCAAGAAAUAAACCGAUAUCAUGGACCCCAUCGCAAACGCGUACAACGGCUGUACCGCCCCAAAAAGAGUCGCACUCGUGCACCCCAUAACUGCUUGUUUCCACUCGGGAAGGUUCAAGGCCAAAAGUCUCCUAAACGAAGGCACGGGCAGUUUCUUCUGUUCAUACUCUACAACACUCUCUUGAUCCGGAGCUCUACCCUGAGCAAACGAGUUUGCGGAACUCGAACGACUCACCAUGGAGAGCCUACGGCUGCUUGUGCUGUGAAUAUCGUUUGAAAUGGAAGACGAAACACCAUAAUGCCCUAACUCUUCUGGUUCCUUUUCUUUCUCCGUUCGUUGGAGGCGGACAAGGGACGUGUAGUGGCCGUUUUCACGUUGGGAGAGCUCAUCGUGGGAGCCAAUUUCCAUGACCUGGCCGUUUUGAACUACGGCAAUCACGUCCGCAUUUCGGAUGGUGGAGAGGCGGUGCGCGAUGAUUAUUGUGGUGCGGCCGACGGCUGCUUUGUCUAGGGCUUCUUGGACUACUCGUUCGGAUUCGGAGUCCAGUGCGCUGGUGGCUUCAUCUAGGAGGAGGAUACGAGGUUUCUUGAUGAUGGCUCGUGCAAUGGCGAUCCUUUGUUUCUGUCCUCCCGACAUUUGAACACCUCGCUCGCCAACCUGUUUAAUCAAAACGUUAAUUUGUUUUAGUACUUGAAAAAUGUAGUUUUGUUGUGCCUGCAUGUUUCAUGAACUGUAAUAAAAAUGAAAUGAAAAUUACUAGAAAGACUUACUCAUAAAUGAUUGUACAAGACUAAGAAUAUCAAUUAAUAUAUUUAUAAGAGAAACAAAAAUCAGGUUCGCCACUUUAGCAAUAUUUAUACGAAUAAUGCAGUGACGUGCUGUAAAGUUAUCGAAUUUAAAUGUCAUGGCGUACUCAUUGUAAGUACGUCUUUUUAUUUAAAGGGUUGGUCUUAGUGUAGUGAUUGUUGGAAGGAACUUCUAAACUUGAAACUUCUCCAAACAUGAACGAAAGGAUUUUUAAUCAAAUGCUAGUUGGUGUGUUAGAGGUAUCUUAUAAUGCAGUUUCGACUGAUGAUUAUAAAAUGCAAGGCAAGCAUCAUUGUCAAAGAAGCAAUAAAGAUGUUGUUUACUGAUUAAGUUUACCUAAAUUAAGUUGUGCAAGACUAGCAGAUGACACUUAAUUGCAGUAGCGAAAAGUAAUAAAGCCUACAUACCCUAGUGCGAUUCGUCCUCCACUGAUCACCCUCCUCCUACCAUUUAACAAUUUAACUACUAACGUUAUCGUUUGAGAGUAACAAAAUGGUAGAAUACUAGUUUAGAGCUUUUUUUAUUGGGGUUUUGGGGGGAAGGUUUUUUUACAUGCUAGAGAGGCAAUCAAAUUCGUAUUAAAUUUAGCAAUUAUAUUGAUUCCUGAUUAAAUUAAAACCUUACUUAAGGGCAGGAUAUAACGUAAUAAAGUACGAUAACAUUAAUCACCAAUUAUAUAAUAACCAAGGUGGUGAAGAUUUAUAUGAUGCAACUGAUGGCUGCAAAUAGUGGUGCGCAUGCAAUACUACUAUUAUAUUGGGUUUGUUCUGUUGCAACUUAGACGAUUGAAGGGAAGACCUUCAUAGCCUAGUGGGGGACAAAAUCAUCAAGGUUUAGGAGCAAUAAGAUGCAUAAAGGAAUGCGCACAGUAGAGGAUUAUUAUUAUAUAAAUUAAUAGAUAUACAACUGUAUAACAAAUAUAUAAUUUUAAAACUAUAUCUAUAAACUAAGAUAAUCCUUUUUUUAUUCACAUUUCUUACUUACUCAUGUCAUUCUCUACAGGAAAACAAAGACUUUUCGGGAAAAAUGGAAAUAAGAAUAAGAAAGAGCUUGCACUAGAAGAAUAUACCAAUGAAAACCCAAUUGAUAUAAUUUAAAAUCCACUAUUCGUUCAAAAUAUCUACGAAAAAGAUAAGAUUAGUGCUUUUUACACAUCUCUGCUCACUUCAUACAACACCUUUCUAAUUUAUAACCACUAAAUUAAACAAUUAUAAAGUAAAAUCAAAGAUCAAAAUUAAGAAAAGUGUAUACAAAAUAAAAAAGAGUGUUGAAAUUACUGCCCUAAUAUAAACCCCCCACACCAGUUUGGCUAGUUAUCCUUGGCUCCUAUGUGGAUCCACUACACUAGACGACAAACAUAUCAAAAGACAGAAUCUUUGACAUCAUAUGUGAUUAACAAUUGGAAAGCAAUAAUUUGUCAUUUGCUUAAAAAGUGGAAUGUUUAAAUAUCACACCAUUUCUAAUAAAAAUACUUGACUUUUAUAUGCAAAGUAUCAUUCGUUUUGUUAACAAUUCAAAUUUUGGUAAAUGUUUUGAAAUAUUUUUUUAUUCUUUUUAUUUAUAAUGAUAUAUUUUAGUUUCUACAUCAAAUUGUGAUUGAAAAAAAAUUAAUCUCUUAUAUGAAAAGUUAAUAAGUAGCAUGUAACUAAUUAACGUGUUACAUGCUGUGAAGUAAUUACCUGAGUAUCAUAUCCUUGAGGCAACUGGGAGAUGAAAUUAUGAGCAUUAGCAGCUUUUCCAGCCUCAAUAACCUCUUCAAUCUCAGCAUCUUCUUUCCCAAAAAGUAUGUUCUCCUCAAUGCUGGUUGCAAAUAGAGCAGGCUCUUGGCUCACCAAACCCAUCUGCGACCUCAGCCACUUGAGCUGAAGCUUAUUUAUCGCCACCCCAUCAAGAAGAACCUCGCCUCCGAGUGGAUCAUAAAACCGCUGCAACAGCGAUAUCACCGUGGACUUCCCCGAGCCGCUUCCGCCCACCAACGCCACCGUUUUGCCCGCCGGAAUUGUCAAGUUGAAAUCUUUGAAGAUGAUGCUUUCCGGUCUCGACGGGUAUGCGAAUUCGAGAUGCUUGAAUUCGACUUCACCGGAGACAUCCUCUAGACAUUCGCCUUCCAUGUUGUCGGAAUCGAUCUUGGGAACUCUUCUUAUCACUUCCAUUAUGCGCUCGGCUGCCGAACAUGCCUCUGAAAAGUACUUCAAGUUUGAUAGUCCAGAACCUAAUGCCCUGUUCACCAAAACAAUAAAACCAUGCAUUAAGAAUUUGGGUAAACUAAAAGGAUCAUAAGAAUCUACAGCACAUGAUACACUGUUAAUAUUUUAUCAUAAACAGAAACAAAAUCGAAGAAAAUCAAAGGAUGCAUCAUUUUUGGGAGGUUAUAAGUUUGUACUUACAAGAAGUACCAAUUUACCAAUCUACAGACUACAGUACAUGGUACAUUGUCAUUUUGCCGUAACAAAUAAAAAAGAGGCAAUAUGCAUGAGUGGACAUUUUAUAAAUUAUCUCAAAAAUAUAAUGGGAAACACUAAACAAACAAUAUGUCAUACACUACUCACAGUUUUGUGCCAUUUUAGCACCUGUUUAGUGUUGUUCACAUUCUAUUUUUUGAUUAAAAGUCUAAACCAGUUUGAUCAAUGCAAUUUCCCGACGAAAAGAAAAAAAAAAAAAAAUCAACGAUAUACGUAUUAAAAAUAUGCAAAAAGGCGUCGAGCAUACAAUCCACCAACGGCGAUGGCAGCACCAACAGCAAAAACAGUGCCUCCCCGAGCGCUAUGGUACAUGACCAUUGUGCUUCCAUAAUACGACAUGAAAGACCAAAUGGCGAAGACAACGCCGUUACUUCCAAUGGCCAGGCCUUUAGCCAAGCCCUGGCUCAAUCCCAACUUGACGGAGCCCUGAAGAGCCACAGAGAAUUCCGAUAUAGUUUUGUUUUC